Non-coding RNA from Rattus norvegicus (Norway rat), 46630 nucleotides. The record is from RefSeq and is a predicted model, not a curated record. Lineage: Eukaryota; Metazoa; Chordata; Mammalia; Rodentia; Muridae.
ACUCGGUUUGUACCCUUCACAUUUGUUGCAUAAAGAAAAGUAUGAAGAUGGGAGACUGGCAGAGGACCAAGCUGUGCUCCCAGCCCCAGUGCAUUGGCAUCUCACAGCCACCUGUAACUCAAGCUCCGGGGGAUCCAGUUCCCUCUUCUGGACUCCAUGGGCACCUAAAUAGAUGCACACAUACACAUGCACACACACACACACACACACACACACACACACACACACACACACAUUUAAAAAGAAGAGGCAGCAUAUGAAACUUACUUUUCAUUGUCCUUGGCUAACCUGUCUUUCAUGAGUAUCUUAGUUUUGUCACAGGAGUCAGUGCUGGUGUAACACUGUCUUCCCAUCUGGCCCGAACUUUCUGAAGUUUCUAACCGCUCGUCACUAAUGAUCACAUUAAUCUAAAUAAAGAGAUUUUUAAAAAAAAGUCUUAUUGACAUAAUUUCUCAGAUUUGCUUUGUUCCAUUUUAAUGAGAGUUUUAGAUUGCAUUUCUCAUAAAUAACCUGGAUCUACUGAUGUAUUUGAGGUCACAUGUUUAUUUUACUGAACGGUAACAACAAGAUGCUGCCUAAUAGUUUCUGUCUCACCUGUACCUACUUGAGCAAAACAAUUCUUAGGUUUUGAUCAUUAAACUUUUGAUUCAGUGCAUGCCUUGAAUAUAUCCAAAGGCCUUAUUUAAGAAAUUUAACAGUAUGUCACUAGAAUUUCUAUUCCUGAACAAGGAGCAGCUUAUAAAUAUAAAAAUAAAAUACCAUUUAAAAUAUUUAAUAAUUCAUUUUAAUAUUAUUCAUCCUAGCACAUUUCAUUUUUAUAAUUACCUACUAUCAAUUUUUAAUUUUUAAUAAACACCUUAGAUCCCAAACUUCAAGUUUGAGGAAUAUUUAUAUUCUCAUUUCCAGUAUUUUACAAAGAGGUUUGUGAUGGGUAGGUGGUAAGGACUGUGCAGAGACUGGCAUGCUGGGGACGGUGACACAGGAUUGGGGAGAAAGGAGUGCAGGCUCAGCUGGGGCUUCACCCUGGAUGUGUUCUCCAUCACCAAUAGGAUUUGAAGCUACCGAAGAAAGAUGCUACUUCUCUUUUCUUCUAUGAGACAGUGUCUCAUGUAGCUCAGGUUGGCCUUAAACUCACUCUGUAGCCAAGGCUGGCCUUGAACUUUGAUUGUCCUGUCAGCACCCCGCAUGCUGGUGUGCAACAUCACACCCUGUGUUUGACUGUGUUUUGGAUAGAGUCGUCGCGGUACACACAUACUCUAUCAUGCAUUCCUUUAUUUUUCAUUCCUCGUUCACCCUCUUCAGCUUUCCCUCACUAGUCCAUUCCUCUCGUUCAGAUCAGCUGCUAAGUCCCCCAUAUUAAUGUUUAUAGUCAAUGUAUUAUUUUAAAGAGUAACCCAUAAGUAAAUACAACAGCAAAGUGAAUCAAGUAUCUAUGGAAGCCAUUACCACUAUCUCAGAGUAUUCUUCAGGGUAGUUGUCCAGGGGUUCUUCCUCUGUCCAAUCCGCUUUUCAAAACCAUGUCAAGUAAUAUACAUGUAUGUCUAUCCACUCCCACUAAUAUCCACUGCAUACAUCUAGGACAUGCAUGUCUACCUUCUAACAUACAGUGCACACAUAUACUAUAACUAACAUAGCAAGUGAAUAAGGACUAAAUAAUGGAAGAAGCGACAAGUUUAAUAGAGAGCCCAGGCUUAGGGAUGUCUGUGCUCUCUAAAACAAGAAAUACAGGGGAAAGCAAUUCAAUAUACUUCGUUCUGUAAUAGAAGGAAGAAGACAUGUGUAUCUGAAGAGACUAAAUUUUCUUGUGCCAAAUCUUUUGUAGACAAUUUUGAAAUAUAAAACAGGAUUCUCCUUUACAAAUAUCACUCUCAUCUGUGAUUGAAGCUGGGCAGAGGAUCUUCAGCCUUUCUACAGUAAAGCUAUAGCAGUGUGUGCUGCUGUGUGGGUUAUGCAGUAAAGGUCCUUACUAGUAGCUUACUGUCCAGGUUCAGCCUGCAGAUGUGCGUUAAAGGUCCUGAGACAUUUUGAAUUUAGAUGCUUUUAAAAUAGAUACAUGAUUUAUAUUUAAUCAUGGUUAGCUUGGCUCCCUCAGAUUCUGUGUAUUUUAUGUAAUUACUUUGUCUGACUAUUUUAUAAACCAUUAAUUUUCCUAUACAUUUAUUGAGGAAAAAGCAAAGAACAACAAUCCUUUCUCUGAUUUACAAAGGCAUAUGUGUGUGUAUGUAAUAUUCCAUAAAAUAUAGAAGAAAAUUAAAUUAUUUAAAACCCCAAGACAUCCCAAGUUAGCACUGUUAACUUCAAAGUAGAUAACUUUCUGGAACUUGGGUAUCUGUGUUUCUCUCUCUCUCUCUCUCUCUCUCUGUGUGUAUGUGUGUGUGUGUGUGUGUGUGUGUGUGUGUGUGUAUGUAUGUAUGUGUGUGUGUAUGUGUAUGUGUGUUAUAAACACAAAUGAGUCAAAUUAUGUUCCUGGAUUAAAAAGUUUUACAUCACUGACUUUUCAUCCCCAUGACUUUCUUUAAUGACUGUACAGGAUUCUAAGCUGGCCUCUUAUCAGAUUUUUGUAGUUUGAAAAUUGAGUGUUUUUCAGUUUGUAUUCGGAAGCUUUUGAGUAAUAUCCUUAUAAGUAUAGCUUAUAUAUGCUGAUUGUUUCUUUGGAUAUAUUCUUAGAAUGGAAUUACCAGGUCAGUGUAUAUUUACUUUUAAAGGUUCUGUUAACCACCAUUAAAGGGUCUGAUUUUCAUUCUUGCCAAAACCAAGCGUUCUUCCUCUGUCCAGGGGCAGCCUCCAGGAAUAACCGCCAGCAUUUUCCAGUUCGUUAGAUUUGUUAGUGUAUGAGCAGAACAGCACGGAUGCCCUUAAGUUCUUCCCUAAGCAAUAUAGGAUAAGUAGAGUCUUGAGGCAUGAGGCUUUGUGUGUGGUAAGUGGGUCAGCUACCUCCUCUAGAUAAUAAGGUCGGUGUGGAAUAUUUGAUCAAGUAAACCUAUGUGAGGGCUAGUCCAUUGUGAAUAUAUCCCUUUCCAAACAGAGAUUAUUUUGCAUACUUUAAACAUCCUCAUUUGGCGCCUUCAGAACACGUUCCCAGCUAGGCAUGGAGUAGCUGUAUUUGAGGUAUUUGUGCUGCCUGUAAUUGGCACCAUAUAAUUUAUUCUGUAAGCAAAAACCAGGCCAUCAUCCUAAGGACAGGUACGGUCUUUACAGGAAACCAAGUGCUUCCUUUUCUAAGAUCUCCAUGGAACUGGAAUAAAUGUGAAAGUGUGUGUCUAUUAUGUAACUUCCUAAAAGUAGAAUCUGCCUGUCUAGAGGUAUUCUAGCAACAGCAGCUGCCACUCAGUAAGUACUUUCCAAGUGCCAGGUGCUCCACACUCCCUAUUCGCAGGCUGACUCCACACCUUUGCGUACAAGAGACACUGAGACCCCAAAAGCAAUGUGCUGAGAGUCAAAUACCCAAGAAAAGAACCAGAAUCACAUCUCAGACACCUGUGUUUGGAAGGUUGUGUCCUCAGCCACCAUUUUACCGCCUGGCACAACAUCCAUCUCGCUCUGAAGUUGGCAUCAUAAUAAAGAUAGUAUAUUAAAGUGGUCUGAUCCACUAUAGAGUCAGAAACCCCCUUGAGAAGCUGAUGAAAACUUUGGAAUCUUUUCCUUGACAUACACAAAUUUGCAGCCCUAAAUCAGAAAUUCUCUGAACCUCAAAGGGCAUCCAGAUCCCUGGAACUUGCUAUAACCAUAGUGAUAGUAAGUUGUCCUCCAUCUUUAGUGAUAGUAAGUCAUUCUCCAACCCUAGUGAUAGUAAGACAUCCUCAUGCAUAGUCAUAGUAAUUCACCCCCAUUCAUAGUGAUGUCAUUCUUCAUCCAUAGUGAUAGUAAGUCAAUAGUGAGUAACAACAGAGGCCACAGAAGCCUCUUAAGUUCUGGUCUUAAGAAGAAAUGAUGGGUACUGGGGUGUCUACUUCUGGAGUGUGACUCUGGAAAUGUUCCUGUAAAAUGAACUAGCCUUGGUUUCUCAACACUCCCAAUAAGGGCUUCAACUAUGUGAAGCAAUUCUAUUUCUUCAACUGAACUUUGAUAAUACAUAACUUGGCCAAAGUGGGCUGGGAAGUUGGCUUUGAAGUCAGAAAUACUUGGGUUCGUCUAUUUAACUAGCACUGUUUCUAUUUCGAUGGGUUUGGCCUUUUACCUUCCUCGUCUGCAGACUAGGAAAUUAUUUUCACACAAAGAAUCUAAGAACAGAUCCACUAGGUUCCUCUGAUCCCGUUUGUGCCGUGAUACCUGUCAUAUGCUCAGCCUCAUGGUCAAUACCUGAAAAGAACUGCACAGAGCAAUUUCAUUCUGUGUACAUCUAACACCUCAGUGGCAGAAUAGUCACGGGACCUGCUGACUGUGGGAAAUGGGUUAACACGUGAGUGCUCAUACCAUACCUACUGAGCGAGUGUAAAGGGUUUACAGUCUCACCCCAAACAAAUUAAAAUCCUGUUGACUUCAGAAGUUCUUCCUUAGGAAAUACAUACAGUUAUGGUGGUCCUGGAACUCACUCUGUAGAGCAGGCUGGCCUUGAACUCAGAGAUCUGCCUGUCUCUGCCUCCAGAGCUCUGAGAUCAAAGGUGUGCACCACCGUGGCCUGGCAGGAAAGAUCUACAGUUUUAACUGUUUGACAAUUGUGUAGCUUAUUACGGGAUGGAGCUGGCAAAUCACAGGAGGAAUGUCCUAAGGCAGAAGUAGUCCCACUAGACCCCAGUGAGCAUCGUCCCCAUCAAGCUUCUCCUUGAGCCAAGCUACUUAGGAAUUGCUGGCAGGUCUGUAGCUAACCCUGUAGAUUCCCACGGAGACACGUGGAUCUUAACCCACCUUCAGUGCAUCUAGUAUAGAGUAGCGGAUACACUCGGCCUGGUUUUUUAGACCAUUUGCUGGUGUUGAAGCAUAUGCACGUCUAAGUAGCUUCCUCCAAUCGAGACCCUCGUUUCCAUCAGGACUUGCUCCCAUCUCCACUACAACCUUAUUCAAAAGGUGUUUAUUAAUCAAAAUCGAAGUGGCCUAUUCCUCAAACCCAGGCGUAGUGUUUCAGACUUAACAAAUUUAGAUUUGUUCAUGCACAGCUGAGGCGGAACCUCCACAGGAAGGUAGUCGCAGCAGUUGAGUGUGCGCAGACAGUCGCCUAUGAAGUCUUUUCUAAAGGUCCUUUCCCCCUCAUCUCUCACUCUGUCUUCUCAUAACCACACUCAUUACAACUGCUGAGAAAGAAAACCAGUUUGAAUGAGUCCUAUAAAAUGAUCAUUUUCGGUUUUCCAAAGUCCAUCUUCUGAGAAGAAAUCAUCAGCACAGCACAUUUGUUCUGGGCGUCAUGUGUGCUUGACCUCCAUGCCGUUGUUAGGCUACCGGGAAAGGCCAAGCGAUCAGCAGUCCCCGUGUCUCUCGGAUUUGAAUGUCCCUCCUUGGAUUCGGACUUUGCGAAGUUGGGUUGUAACUUUUUACAGGACCCUGCUUGCUCCCCUAUCGCACUUGUUACAAACCCGAUACUUUUUGCCAUAUUGCAGGGAUGGAUUAAUCUCACCUGGUGUAUUAAGAACAAACCCAGUGUGGGAUUUGUGGGACUUGUGGGAUGUUAUGACCUUUUCAUGGGGCUAUAAUUUGCAUACCACCAAGGCUACCAUUUGAAAGUGCAUUAAUUCAGUGAUUUUUGUUUUCUCAAAAUGCUGUAUUGCAAACACUCCUGUAUAAUUCUAGGACCUUUCCACCAUCCCUAAAAGAAGCUGUAUGAGCAGUCGCUCUCGCAGUUGCUCUCCAUCGGUUCUCUCCCUCACCCUUUCAACACGACAAGGUAGCCUGUCCCAGUACCUAGCCUGUUCUGGAAUCUUGUAUAAACGAAGCCACAGACCGCACGUAGCUUGUUCUCAUCUGGUUCAGAGCUGAAGCGUCUAAAGUUCAUUCCUUCUGAUGACGACUGAAGGAAAUUCUGUCACAUUUUGUCUUUUUCUCAGGUCACAAAUAUUUGGCUUAUUUUCCUCUCUGUUGUAUUACUGAAAAUGCUGGUUCAAACACAUACAUUUUGGCAUACGUGACUUUGUAUGUGCCUAAAAGUAGAAUGUCUAGGUCACAUGGUAACUCCGCUUAAUUUUGAGUACUGGCUACUGAACUACUUUUAACACAAAAAUCAUCCUUUUUUUUUUUUAAUUUCCACCAACAAUGUGGAGGCAAAGAAGAUUUCCCCAUCCAUGCCAGUGACUGUCAUUAUCUCCUAAUUAAUUGUUAAUAUUCUGUUAGAUAUGAAGUUAUAUCUAACCAUAGUGUUGGCGUACCUUUACCUAAUGUCCAGUAGUAUGGAGUGUGUUUUCAUGUACUUAUUGUGUGUGUGUAUGUCUAGAUCCUUAUCAGAUAUAUAAUUUUAAAAUAUCCCCUAUUCAAUGCACCCAUCACUUUCCUGGCAGUGGAUCUGACUCAAAACCCUCACCCUGAGAGAGCCUCCUCUGUUUUCCCUUUGCCAAGCCUUAGGUUUCAUGUCUACAAAAUGACUGUUACUCACAAAGAUUCUCAACAAUUUUUAAUGUUUGAAUUGAAGUGAGGUCUUUGUUUUGCUUGCACAUGUUGUUAUAUGUGGUUCUAGAAAGAGGUCAGAUUCAUCUGCACAGAGAUGUCUCAGGGCCUCAGAAAGUGUCCUUUGUUACAACUCUUCUUUUCCCAUUUAAAUGGUACUGCUAACAUUCAGUUGAGUGCAUGUGUGUAUAUUAAUUUCUAAACGCCCCGUCCUCUUCCACUGAUGUGUGGACACAGUAUUACAACAGCAUCACGGAUUUCCUUGUUGGGUUUUUGUUUUGUUUUUGCUUUUGUCCUGUUUUGGUUUUGUUUUGUUUGAGACAGUCUUAUGUACCUCAGGCUAUCCUCAGCCUUGUUGUACACUGAGGGUGACCUUGAAUGGAUCCACUUUCCUCUAUUUCCCCAUGCUGAGAGGACAGGUACCUACCACUGCACCUGGCUCCAGUCUUGACUACUACGACCUUACAGCAGUCAGGCCUGACGGUCUUGCCUUGAGUAGGAAUUGCUCUUCCUGGAGUUUGUUUUGACUAGUUCAUGUUCCCUGCACUUCAGUACUAACCUUGGGCCAGCUUCUCAGUCGCGCCCACACUAGACUGCCUUGUACAUCUGGCUAUGUGUUUAAUUUCACCAUUAGACUGAAGAGUGCCCAGCCUUCUUUCUCCUUUCAGACAGUGGCUGCCAUUCCUUGGCUACCUCUUUUGUCACUCUAUAUAAACUGUAGCAUUAGCUCUGUGGUAUCAACUGGUAAUUUUGAUAAGGCUGUUUAAUUUAAAUUUACUUUGCCAUAUAAAUUAUAGAUGUAAUGGCAGAGUGUGUUUAUAUGUACAUAUCAGGUAAUGUUUAAUGCAGAUUAAACAUUCAUUUGCUCAAACAUUUCUCCUAACUUUACUGUGAAAAGCCAAUCUUUUAGCUUUCUCAAAUGUACAGUGCAUUAUUGUUCCCUGUAGUCAUCUUUCUGCAUAACAGGACACCAGAAAUUCUUACACUCAUCUCACUGUCUGAGCACCCAUUGUAAACUUCCCUUUAUCUGUCCAUCCACUCUGGAGGCCACUGUUCUGCCUUUGACUUCCAUGAGGUCAUGGCUGUAGACUCUAGCCUAGGUGAGUUCAAUGCCUUUCCUUUCUCACACAGUGCUAUGAGCGCUGGUGAGAAUGGCUAUCCGGGCUGCAUGAAAUAGAUUCAGUGGAUGUUAAGUGAAUCAACUAAAGCUUACAAAGAGAAAAAGAACUAAGACUAACUGAUGGCGAGCAUGUGAGAGAAAGGAAUGUGUAUACUGUCGGGGGCUUUGAAUUAGUGAAGAUUAUGGAAAAUGUAUGAUGGUUCCUCCAAAGAGUUAAAAGUAAAGCUAUGACAUGACCCAGGCAUCCAGCUCCUGUGAACAUAUACAAGUAAAUGCCUCAAAGAGACAAACCUUCACGGUGUUGUCCACCUGUCUUUCCCGCCCACUUCUUUCCACAGACACUCCUUUUCUCAGUUUGAUGGUUAGGAGGAGGGUUUCCGCAUGUUUUCGUUGUGUUCCAUGGUGGUACAGCACUGGGUCACAGUCAGGAGGUAAUGCAGGGAGGGCAAGGGAGCCCACUGCCACAGAAGCAGACAUCCACCUGGAAGUUGUCACCUUCCCUGGAUAUAGGGCUACCUGGCCCACUCUGUCACUGUGGUAACUUUACAGAGGCCUCCUGAGCUGGCUAUUUUUUGUGGUUGUUGUUGUUGUUGUCUUGCUUGGUUGUUGUUUUCAUUAGGGAUAAUUUUAUUGAUUUUUUUUUUGAGCAGUCCUAUUUGGUUUUACCCUAGGUUGCUGGGCUAUCCAGGCUCUGGUACUUGGUUACUCAAGCAGUGUUGGAUAUGGGUUCCUUCUUAUGGAGUAGGCCUUAAGUAAGAUCAGACAUUGAUUGAUUUUACUCCCACAAGUUCUGUGCCACCAUUAUCCUAGCAUAGUUUGCAGGCAGGACAGAUUACAGGUCAAUGGUUUUGUGGCUCAGUUAGCGCCCAUGUUUCUCUUUUGGUAGCCCUCAGAGUACCCUCUUGCACCAAAGAGACUAGAAUGGAGAGGUGAAGGCUCCAUGUGGACGCCAGUUCAGUGGGUUGUGUGGAUGUUGUAGAGAGUAGCCCUUUGUCUUAACAUUACCCUACACUGUUUGAGGAUUUCUGUAGUACCCUGUUGGCCAACAACUCAGUGGAUUGCAAACCAGUCCCACCACUGUAGGCCUUGUCUGGGAACAAGAGAUCAACAGCUGAGACUCUGAAUCCCCCAUUAUUAGAUCCUCAUUAGGGUUACUCUCAUAGAUUCCAGGAAGUUUUCACUGCUCUAGGUUUCCAUGCCACACCCCAGAAACCACCCUUAAUUCCACCCAUCUCUCCCCAUACUUUCUCCCUUCAUCUCAUCUCCCAGUUCAUGUGAUCUUCUUGUCCCUGUCCCCAGGCAUCUGCAGUCCAUUCAUAAAAUCUAUUCUAUUUUCGCUUCCCAGAGGGAUCAGUGCGUGUCCCCUAGUCCCAUCAUCUUCACCUAACCUCACUGGGUCUAUGGAUUGUAGCUUGAUUAUCAUUUACUUAGUGGCUAAUAUCUACUUAUAAGGGGAAGCUACCGUAUUUAUCUUUCUGAGUCUAGGUUAUCACACGCAGUAUGAUUUUUUUCCAGUUUCAUCCAUUUUCUGGCAGAUUUAAUGGUAUCAUUUUUAAAAAGAAUUAUUUAUUUUACGUAUGUGAUUAUACUGUGGCUGUCUUCGGACACACCGAAGGAGCACAUUGUAUACCACUACAGAUGGUUGUGAGCCAACAUUUGGUUGCUGGGAAUUGAACUCAAGACCUCUGGAAGAACUUCUGAGCCAUCUCUCCAGCCCCCAUAUCAUUUUUUUUAACAGCUGAGAGAUACACCAUUGUGUAACUGCACCACAUUUUGUUUAUCCAUUCCUCUAUUGACGGACAACUAAGUUGUUUUCAGUGUCUGAGUAUUAUGAAUAAAGACAAAUGAAUAUAUCUGAGCAAGUGUUCUUGUGGAGAACCCUUUGGGUGUAUGCUCAAGAGUGAUAUAGCUGGGUCUUGGGGUAGGUCUAUUCCCAAUUUUCUGAGGAACUGCCAUAUUGAUUUCCAUAGUGGCUAUACAAGUUUUCACUCCUACCAGCAAUGGAGGCAUGUUCCCCCUUUUCCACAUCCUUACCCGCAUGAGCUGUCACUUAGGUUAUUGAUCUUAGCCAUUCUGACAGGUGUAAAAUAGAAUAUCAAUGUUAUCUUGAUUUGCAUCUCAAUGAAAGUUAAGGAUGUUGAAUGUUUUUUAAGUGUUUCUCAGCCAUUAGGGAUUCCUCUAUUGACAAUUCUCUAUUUAGAUCUAUACUUACCUCCUUUUUUAAUUGAAGUAUUUGGGGGUUUCUUAUAUCUAGUUUCUUGAGUUCUUUAUAUAUUUUGGAUAUUAAUCCUCUGUAGAAUGUAGAAUUGAUAGAAACAUUUUUCUAUUUUUUUAUUCUUUAUUAACUUGGGUAUUUCUUGUUUACAUUUCAAUUGUUAUUCCCUUUCCCGGUUUCCAGACCAACAUCCUCCUAACCCCUCCCCCUCCCCUUCGAUAUGGGUGUUCCCCUCCGCAUCCUCCCCCCAUUACCGCCCUCCCCCUAACAAUCCCGUUCACUGGGGGUUCAGUCUUAGCAGGACCAAGGGCUUCCCCUUCUACUGGUGCUCUUACUAGGCUAUUCAUUGCUACCUAUGAGGUUGGAGUCAGUCCAUGUAUAGUCUUUGGGUAGUGGCUUAGUCCCUGGAAGCUCUGGUUGGUUGGCAUUGUUGAUACAUUUUUCUAUUCUGUAGGCUAUUGCUUUACCCAAUUGGUAGUAUCCUUUGUCUUACAGAAGCUUUUCAGUUUCAUGAGAUCCUACUUUAAUUGUUGAUCUUAGUGCCUGCACUAUUGGUGUUCUGUACAAGAAGCUGUCUCCUGUGCUGAUGCUUUCAAGGCUAUUCCUUACUUUCUCUUCUGUCAGUUUUGGUGUAUCUGGUUCUAUGUUGAGGUCUUUGAUCCACUUGGGCCUACGUUUUAUGCAGCGUGAUAAAUAUGGAUCUGUUUGCUUUCUUCUACAUGCUGACUGACAUCCAGUUAGACCAGCACCAUUUGUAGAAGUUGCUUUCUUUUUCAGUGUGUAUAUCUGGCUUCUUUUACAAAAAUUAAGUAGUCAUAUAUGUUUGGAUUUAUAUUUGGGUCUUUGAUUCAAUUCCAUUGACCAAUCUGUCCAUUUUAUUCCAAUACCAUUUGGUUUUUAUUGUUAUAUUUUCAUAGUACGAUGUGAAAUCAGGGUUGAUGAUGCUAACAGCAGUUCUUUCAUUGAUUACAAUUGUUUUAUCUAUCCUGGUUUUUUUUUUUUCUCAUUUGAAGUUGGGAAUUGUUCUUUCAAGGUCUGUAAAGAAUUGUGUUCAAGUCUUGAUGGAGACCAUAUUGAAUUGGUAGAUUCCUUUUGGUAGGAUGGUCAUUUUUUUCUUUGCUAUAAGAAGAUAGCUUCUUCAAUUUCUUUAAAGGCGUGAAGUUUUUAUCAUGCAGAUCUUUCACUUGCUUGGUUAGAGUUACCCCAAGAUAUUUUAUAUUAUUUGAGGCUAUUGUGAAAGGUAUUAUUCCCUGAAUUAUUUUUCAGUCCAUUUGUCAUUUGUAUAUAGGAAGGCUACUGCUACUGUUUGGUUUGGUUUAUUUGUUUUGUUGUUGUUGUUUUUAGUUAAUCUUGUAUCCAGGUACUUCAUUGAAAGUUUUUAUUGGCAGUAGCAAUUCCCUGGUAUAAUUUUUAAGGUCACUUAUAUAUACUAUCAUAUCAUCUUCUAAUACUAAUACUUUGACUUCUUCCUUUCCAGUUUGUAUCCCCUUCAGCUCCUGCAGUUGUCUUAUUGCUCUAGCUAAAACUUCAAGUACUAUAUAGAACAGAUAUGGAGAAAGUAGACAAUUUCUUUAUAGCUUUAUUGAUUACCAGGUGCUAUAGUAGUUGCUAGUUAACAGCACAGACACGGUUCCUGUUCUCUUGUCAUCUAAAUUUAAUGAAAAUCAAAUGUUUAAACAACAACUGUAGAUUAGUCUGGCUAUAGUCUGGAAGCGAUUGAACAGAGGAUAAUUGGGGCAAGGAGACCAGUUAAGAGGGACAAGUAACCCGAGCAAAACAUGAAACUGGUGCAGAUGGGGGCAGAGGCAUAUGGAGGUAAAUCAUGGUGGCACUAACCACAUAAUACAGAGGAGAUGGGGCUGACAGUACGGGGAAACUGGCCGACAUAUAAAGUCAUUAACAGGCGUGAGUUCGGAUGCACACCCUAAGCUUAGAGAACAGGAAAGAUGUUUGGAUAAGACCUGUAUAUUGGAACCUCAUGAGACAGUUCAGGAAUAGAAAUGUGGAGGUUUGUGUUAUCAGCAAUGGUAAUGAGGCCUCGGGAAUAGAUGGAGUCACGCAGGCAUGUGUAAAAUGGAGAGUCAGAACAGCAUGAAAGGGGGCUGUAAGCAAUGUGCAGACAGUGCCAGGACGUUCUGCUGGUGAGGAGCUCAGGCAUGAGUGGGCCUCAGCUUCAGAGGACCCAGGUAAGAAGAGCCUGAAAUGUGCUCAUCCGGUUAGCAGCACCAAAGUCCUCUGUGUCCUCGUGGUGAGUAAACACGUUCUGCUUUGUUGGUUGGUGUGGGCGAUGAGGAAGCAAGCACAGGAGAUAUUUCCACAACUGAAGAGGGAGGAGCACGGAGAGGAGAAGAAAGCUUGGGUCUUCACCAUCGUUCAGUUGUUUGUUUCCAGUGGGAACAACUGGGAGUGUUUAAAAAUGGGGAUAGAGGAGGGGUAGAACCAGAGGAACACAGCCCUAGAAAGAGGGUGUACGGAAGGGAGGGAGGCUCUUCCUCUGUAACAGGAAACAAGCAUGUGCUAUGAUCAGAUGCAAUUGUUGGGACAAGAGAGGAUAUUGUAUGGUCUGUCCCUUUUUUACUGUAAGGUGAUAAGAAUGUUUAUCUUCAUUACAGACAGGGAAGGAUGCAGAGUGUAGAACAAAUGCAGGUUGAGUUCCUUCCCAGGAGAAAUGGAGAAGGAGCUAGAGAAAUUAUCAGGAUGUGCAGGAGGUCUGGGGGAUCCCCGGGAGCAAGGGCAGUUAUGGGAUUCUCUGAAGAAGCCCUGAAUUCAAGGGCAGAGCAGGAAGUCAUCCAGAACUGGGACUUCACGAUUAAGAUGCAGAGGCAAUAGGCAAGGGACACAAGAAUAUAGAAGGGAAAGUUGCUGAAGAGACAAAGUCUGCAACCCAAAUCUAAUAGGUAAGAGAGGAAGCGAGCACACAGAACAUGUGACCAAGAGGUCGAUGAGCUGAAAUGUUAAAUAGAAUUCAGAAGAAAUUUCAAAAGAUCUGAAACCACAGACUGCAGCUGCUGGAGUGCCAAGCCGCAGUGGGAGUCAGAGAAAGGCUAGGUAUUGAAUGAAUCAUCUGCAUGCAUGCAAAGUCACCCAGGAGGGGGUAGGACUUCAGCCAGAUGUUCUGAGUCACCCGGGAGGGUAGGACUUCAGCCAGAUGUUCUAAGUCAAAGGAAGGUGGGCAGAAACACUGCAUGGCAGUGAUGUGCAUUUGGUGUCAAAACAACUGGUGGCAGUCAGUUCUCUCUUCCAUGAUGUGCGUUCAUUGAACCUUUACCCACUGAUCCAUCUCACCGGGCCACAAAUAUAGUGUAUUAUUAGCCUACCUCCUUCCUGCAACCAUAUAUACUUGCGUGGAUGUUCAAGGCACAUUUUGAAAAUUACACCAACCUGAACUGCCAAGCUUAUUAAUUAGCAUGUAGCAACUUUUCCUGUGUAUGUACCACCCAGUCAAAAAUGACGAUCAUCCAUCAUGGUCAAGUAGGCUUCAUCCCAGGGAUGAAGGGAUGGUUCAAUAUUUGAAAAUUCAUCAACAUAACCCACUAUAUAAACAAACUCAAAGGGAAAAAACACAUGAUCAUCUCAUUAGAUACUGAGAAAGAAUUUGUCAAAAUCCAGCACCCUUUCAUGAUAAAAGUCUUGGAAAGAUCAGGAAUGCAAGGCUCAUACCUAAACAUAGUAAAAGCAAUAUACAGCAAACCAGUAGCCAACAUCAAAGUAAAUGGAGAGAAACUUGAAGCAAUCCCACUAAAAUCAGGGACUAGAAAAGGCUGCCCAUUUGCUCCCUGCCUAUUCAAUAUAGUACUUGAAGUCCUAGCCAAAGCAAUCAGACAAUGAAAGGAGACCAAAGAGAUACAAAUCGGAAAGGAAGGAGUCAAGAUAUCACUAUUUCCAGAUGACAUGAUAGUGUACUUAACUGACCCCAAAAGUUCCACCAGAGGUCACCUAAACCUGAUAAACCAUUUCAGCAAAACAGCUGGAUAUAAAAUUAACUCAAACAAAUCAGCAGCCUUCCUCUACUCAAAGGAUAAACAGGCUGAGAAAGAAAUUAGGGAAAUAACAACCUUCUCCACAGUCACAAAUAACAUAAAAUAUCUUGGUGUGACUCUAACCAAGCAGAUGAAAGAUCUGUAUGAGAAGAACGUCAAGUCUCUGAAGAAAGAAAUUGAAGAAGAUCUCAGAAGAUGGAAAGAUCUCCCAUGCUCAUGGAUUGGCAGGAUUAAUAUAGUAAAAAAUGGCCAUCUUGCCAAAAGCGAUCUACAGAUUCAAUGCAAUCCCCACCAAAAUUCCAACUCAAUUCUUCAUAGAGCUGGAAAGAGCAAUUUACAAAUUCAUUUGGAAUAACAAAAAACCCAGGAUAGCAAAAACUAUCCUCAACAAUAAAAGAACUUCUGGGGGAAUCAUCAUCCCUGACCUCAAGCUGAAUUACAGAGGAAUCGUGAUUUAAAAAAAAAAAAACUAUAUGGUAUUGAUACAGAAACAGGCAAGUAGAUCAAUUGAAUAGAAUUGAAGACCCACACACCUAUGGUCACUUGAUCUUUGACAAAGGAGCUAAAACCAUCCAGGGGGAAAAAAAGACAGCAUUUUCAACAAAUGGUGCUGGUUCAACUGGAGGUCAGCAUGUAGAAGAAUGCAAAUCGAUCCAUUCUUAUUGGCUUAUACAAAGCUCAAGUUCAAGUGGAUCAAAGACCUCCACAUAAAACCAGAUACACUGAAAGUAAUAGAAGAAAAAGUGGGGAAGAGCCUCGAACACAUGGGCACUGGGGAAGAUUUCCUGAACAACACACCAGUGGCUCUUAAGAAAGAACCCAGAUGCCCUUCAAUGGAGGAAUAGCUACAGAAAAUGUGGUACAUUUACACAAUGGAGUACUACUCGGCUAUUAAGAUCAAGAAUCGACAAAUGGGGCCUCAUAAAACUGCAAAGCUUCUGUAAGGCAAAGGACACUGUUGUUAGGACAAAACGGCAACCAACAGAUUGAGAAAAGAUCUUUACCAAUUCUACAUCGGAUAGAGGGCUAAUAUCCGAAAUAUACAAAGAACUCAAGAAGUUAGGCCCCAGAGAGCCAAAUAACCUAUUAAAAAAUGGCGUACAGAGCUAAAUAGAGAAUUCUCAGCUGAGGAAUAUCGAAUGGCUGGGAAAUACCUAAAGAAAUGUUCAGCAUCCUUAGCCAUCAGAGAAAUGCAAAUUGAAACAACCCUGAGAUUCCACCUUAUACCAGUCAGAGUGGCUAAGACCAAAAUCUCCAGUGACAGCAAAUGCUGGCGAGCAUGUGGAGAAAGAGGAUCACUCCUACAAUGCUGGUGGGAUUGUAAACUGGUACAACCACUCUGGAAAUCAAUUUGGAGGCUCCAAAAUUGGAAAAUAGACCUUCCUAAACAUCCAGAAAUACCACUCUUAGAAAUAUACCCCAAAGAUGCCCCACCAUGGCACAGGGGCACAUGUUCCACUAUGUUCAUAACAGCCUUAUUUGUGAUAGCCAGAAGCUAGAAAGAACCCAGAUGUCCUUCAAUGGAGGAAUAGCUACAGAAAAUGUGGUACGUUUACACAAUGGAGUACUACUCAGCUAUUAAAAAUAAUGACUUGAUGAAACUCGUAGGCAAAUGGAUGGAACUAGAAAAUAUCAUCCUGAGUGAGGUAACCAAUCACAGAAAAACACACAUGGUAUGUACUCACUGAUAAGUGGAUAUUAGCCGAAAAGCUCGGAAUACCCAAGAUACAAUUUAUAGACCACAUGAAGCUCAAGAAGAAAGAAAGAUCAAAGUGUAGAUACUUCAGUCCCUAUUAGAAAGGGGAACAAAAUGCUCACAGGAGGAAAUACAGAGACAAAGUGUGGAGCAGAGACUAAAGGAAAGGCCAUCUAGAGACUGUCUCACAUGGGGUUCCGUUCCACAUGCAGUCACCAAACCCAGUCACUAUUGGGGAUGCCAAGAGGUGCAUGCUGACAGGAGCCUGAUAUAGCUGUCUCCUGCAAAGCUCUGCCAGGGCCUGACAAAUACAGAUGUGGAUACUCACAGCCAACCAUUGGACUGAGCAUGGGGUCCUCAAUGGAGGAGUUAGAUAAAGGACUGAAGAGCUGAAAGGGUUUGCAACCCUAUAGGAAGAAUAACAGUAUCAACCAACCAGACACCCCAAAGCUCCCAGGGACUAAACCACCAACCAGAGAGUACACAUGGAGACACCCUUGGCUUCAGUCACAUAUGUAGCAAAUGAUGGCCUUGUUGGGCAUCAGUGGAAGGAGAGGCCCUUGGUCCUGUAAAGGCUAGAUGUCCCAGUGUAGGGGAAUGCCACUGUGGGGAUACAGGAAGGGAGUGAGUGGGUGGGGCAGCACCCUAAUAGACUCAGGGGGAGGGGAAUGGCAUAGGGGUUUCUGGAGGGGAAACUGGAAAAGGAAAUAACAUUGUGUUAAAAAAAAAGGAAAUAUCCAAUGAAAAAUAAAAAGACUAAAUAGCACUGUUUACAACACUGAAAUGAUUUCAAUGUUUAGCAUCAGUGGAAUGGCUGGAUACAUUUCACAGUGUAUGCACACUAGAGGUCUAUUAAGUAAGUUAUCUCUGCAGUUAUAGACAGGAAAGUAUAUCAGUGGUGCAUUAAUAAAAAGAUAUUUCUGAUUAGUAUGAGUUAUUUAAUGUCAUUUUUAUGAUUAAAAAAGAAAUAGCCAAAAAAAUGAGAACAUUUUUAAAUACCCACUACCAUGGUGUUUUCUUCCUUCCUCCCUCCCUCCCUCCCUCCCUCUCCCUUCCUCCUUCCCUCCCUCUUUUCUUUUCUUUCUUUCUUUCUUUCUUUCUUUCUUUCUUUCUUUCUUUCUUUCUUUCUUUCUUUCUUCCUCAUCUUAAGUGUAUGGGCCUCUUUCUUCUGGGUUUUAGCCAAAAUCACUCAAUGCUCACAUACCUGAAGCAUAGAGUAUACAUAAACAUGAUCACUUUCACUGGGUGAAACCGGUAUUCUCUAUCCUGUACACUCCUUUCAGCAGUGUCAGAGUUGGGGUCACUCCAUAAUCCAACCAUGUUUUAAGGUGUCACUCUUUUUAAGGAUAGGAUUCAAGUGGCUAGUAUGACCAAGGGACUGGAGUCUGUGUAACAUGCUAUACACUUUAUACAUAUUACACAGUGGUUGGAAGCUCCACUGUGUCUCACCACACCAAUUACUUCCAUGAACUGCUUGGUGUGAAGUAUUGUCCAUGUAGCACUUUUUCCUGUAGAUACCAGUCAGCACAACACUAUUCAUUUAAAACAAAACUAAACCUUGACCUUUCAACUCUGCCCUUUCACCUUCGUGAUGUGUACACUUGGAUCUGUUCCCUCAGUUGUCUGCCACUACCAUACCAUCUUUAAUCCAGAGAAUUGAUAGUAAGGAGAAAUAUUUCAUUUCAUUUUUAACCUAUUCCUGAUUUGAUUUUCAUUUAAAUUUUAUAAGAAGCCUAAUAAUUUCCACAGUCAUGCUGAUGCUCUGACAUUAAAUUAGAUCUGGAGAUUUAAGCAAAAUUCACAAUUUUACAUUAUUGAUUCUUCCAAUUAUCGAUAUGUUGUAUCCCCCCGGUAACAUUUAAAAUUAUUUUUCUUAAAUUAUUUUACACAAUAUGUAGACAUUGUUUUACAUAAUUCUGUAUCUUUGGCAUAUAUUUCAUUGCACUUUCUUAGCUUCUUGUUUUAUUUAGAGCCACCGACACAUUUCUGAAUCUAGGUGAUAACUUGGGCAUUCUUGCCUCUUUCUCAAUUUCAGAGGGAAAACUGUAAAUAUUUUAAGUGCAUAGCUCACAUUAAAUCUUUUAUUCUUUUUAUGCAAAUUUUCAUACAAGAAGAUGCCAUUCAAUGGGCAUACUGUCCCAUACCAUCCUCCUCUUACCCUCCCCCUCCGCCCUCCCUCUCCUCCCCCUUGUCUUUCCCUCUCCCCCAUCUUCUUCCCUCCCUUCCCUUCCUCUCUCCUCCCCUGUUCUAUUGGUCUCUUUUUCCCCUUACUCAGUCUCACCUCUACUUGCAUGUCUUGUAUACAUACAUGAUUUUAUGUAUCUAUAUAAAGUUCUAUAAAUCACAAAUGAAAAAAUAUUAUGCGAUAGUUGUCUUUCCUAAACUGGGUUAAUUCACUUAACACGACCAUCUCCAAUUGCAGUUGUUUUCCUGCAGAUAACAUGACUUUGUUUCAGUCAAAAAUUGUCUGUCAUUGCAUACAUCUUAUUUAUGCAUCUCUCUAUUAUUGCCACCUCUUGCGCUUAUUUAAUAAUAUAGUAUAUAUUUACUAUAUAUUCUUGCUGUAAUAAACAGUGCUACAAUGAGCAUUGAUAUUCAAGUAUCUCUGUGAUACCGUGACUUGGAGUCUCUUGGUAAAUAUCCUAUGGAGGUACAGGCAGCCAAAUGUAGAUCUUUUUGCCCUUUUGAGAAACCUCCAUCCUGACUCCCCUGUGGCUGAGCUAAUUUCUUCGCACCAGCGUUGUAUAAACUUCUGUUUUGCCCAAAUCCUCACCAGUGAUCGUUGAUGCUGUUUUCCUGAUGACUGACGUCCCCUUAGAGGUAAGAUGGAAUCUCCGUGUAGUUUGAUUUGCAUUUCUCUGAUGGCUCAUAGGGUUGUCAUCAUUAGGGUUUUUAGCAAUGUGAUAAAACCAUGACCAAAAGCAACUUGGAGAGGAGAGAAUUUAUUUCAGCUUACAGUUCCCCUUCACAGCCAAUCACUAAUGGAAGUCAGAGUAGGAAUUCGAAUGAGGAACCUGGGCAGGAGCUGAUGCAGAUGCCAUUUGGGUGUGCUGCUUACUGUCUUGCUCCUUGUGGCUUGCUUGGCCUCUUUACUUGUAGCUGCCAGGACAACUAGCUGAGGGAGGAUCCUAUCUGCAGCGGGCUGUAACCUCCCUGAUUAAUCAUCCAUCAAGAAAACGCACCACAGGCUUGCCCCUAGGCCUGAUCGGGUCAGUUUUCAAUAGAGGUUCCUCUUCCAAAGUGGCUCUAACUGUGUAAAGUUGACACAGCCAGCACAGAGGCUGAACUUUGUUUUUUCAUAUGUUUAUUGGCCAUUUUCAUUUCAUGUUUUGAGGGAUGUCCAUUUCCUGGGCCGUUUAUCAAUUGGGUUGUUUGGUUUCUCACUUAGAGUUUUGAGUAGAUAUGAGUAGCUAGCAAAGAUUUUGCCCAUUCUGCAGGCUGUUUCUUCACCCGAUUAACAAUCUCCGUGUGCCGUGUGGAAGCUUUUUGGUUUCAUGAACCGCAUUUGUAGAUCCUUGGCACUCUUUCUGAGGCAGCUGGAGUGAUAUGAGGAAGUGUUAGCCCGUGCCUAAUCUCCAUGCGUUUCCCCUACUUUUCCUUCAACAGUUUCAGGAUUUCACGUCUGACAUUCAGAUCUCUGAUUCAUUUGGAGUUGAAUUUUGUGCAAGGUGAGAGGAUCCAGUUCACCCCUCCCGUGUAGAUAGAUACCCAGGUUGUCUAGAACCAUCUGUUGGGCAGGCUGCCUUUUCUCCACUGUGUACUUCCGGCCGUACCCUUUCCCGAUUCUUGGUGUUUUAACUUAUUUUUCCGUCAGAUGUCUUAUAGUCAUUUUAAGACAAGCAAAUAAUUUUUGUUGUAUUUUUAAGGUGGUAAAUUGCAUUGAUGUUUCAUGCAUUAAAUCGGUUUUUCUCAGGGAAGAAAAUCCAAACAUGCAGAGUAGCCGAGAAACACAAGCUUUCCAGAGGAGCGCACGCCUGGCUGCCUCAGUGUAUUGCUAGGUUUCAUUGGCUAAUAUUUUGGUUGGGACGUUUUCUUCCAUAUUCAUAAAGAAAUUGGCCUGUAAUCUCCCUUUCUUAUAAUAGCUUUGUCACUUAGAUAUCGAGCAUAUGUUACCUUCAUAAGAUGACUUGGGAAGGGAGCUUCUUUUCCUUUUCUGGAGGAGUUUUAUGUUUUCCUGGUGUUAUUCCUUCUUUAACUGUUUGGGGGAAUUAAUCAGUGAAGCCAUCUGGUUUGGAGUUUUCUUCAUGGGAAGAGAUUUAAUAAAAAAAAUGAUUUCUUUGAUAGAAGUGAUACUAUCCAGCAUUCUCAAUAUAAUGUGGGCUUCUUCCCCCUGCGGCCUAGAGUGAUGGUUGCUGCUUUAAAGAUUCCAUUCUGGUGGGUUUCCACUUUCAUGAUCCCAUCGUACAAAUGUCCAUGUCCUCCAAAAUUCAUAUAUUGGACCAUGAAUUCCCCAGUGUGAUGGGACUUAAAAGCAGAACUGUUUAUUUAGUGAUUUGAUGACUUAGUCAUGAAGAAACAUGCUUAUGCUGGGAUUGCUACCUUACAAGAAGGCUCCCAGAAGCCCCUUUCUCUUGUCUGAAGUGAGGACACAGUAAGAAGCUGCUUAACGUAAGCCAGGAAGAGGGCCUUCACCAGACACAACAUUCUCUGGAGCUGUUCCUAGACUUCUCGCUCUUCUAAACUGUGAGAAACAGAUAUCUAUUGUUUUUUAGUCACUUCAGUCUGUGGAAUUUUCAUGAGAGUAGCCUAAUUGGAGUACAAUAGAUGAUGUGCCCUAAUAUAUACCUACAUCUAUUCUAUGUAUCUCUCUCCUCUUUGAGACACAUGGUUUCCUUCAAAUCCAUUCCUUGAUUAUUUCCCUCUCUCUUUUAAAAUUCUUGGUUAUUUUCUCUUCACACAACUUCUACUAUGUCACUCUCCAAGACUCCACUUCUAGAUGCCUUCACCUUUCUGCCACAUGUUGUCUGUCUGUAAAUGUUCUUCCCACUUUCCCUCCCUCAAUUCUGUUCUUAUUACUCAUGGUCUAUUAUUCUUUAUUAUUUUUGCAUAUAUGCAAGUAAAUGAAUGCAAAGUGCUAAAUGGGUUUAGUGUCUCUUGGACUCCCUUGACCAACAACUUGAAAGUUUUCUCAUUCCUGAUACUGGGAUUUUGUUAAAUUGACUAUUACUCUUGGGAGAAGCUUUGUCACCCCUACUGGUAUAUCAUCAUUUAAACUGUAUACAUUCAUAUACAGAUAUACUUACACAUAUUUUAGGUAAAUAUAAAAUGAUGUGAUUCCUUACAGCUUUCCCAUGCAUCCUUAGUGUUACUUAUCUCCCCCUCCUGAAUCUCUUGUAGUGCCCAACCCCUCCUCCUUGAGCCCCUUCCACUUUUCCAUCUCUCCCUUCAUGUAACCUUUGUCUCACCCAUAUAACCCUCCAAAAGUCAUCCUCCUAGCCUCCCCCACCGCCAUGGGUGUGUGCGUGUGUCCCACUGAAUUUAUCCAGUGGAUCAUGGGCAUGGAACUGUCAGUAGGCCUGGUAGACCACUCGGUGGCUUGUACAAGUGAGGAUGGUUACACACAUACACACAUACACACAUCAUACACACAUACACACAUACACACAUACACACACAUCAUACACACAUACACACAUCAUACACACAUACACACAUCAUACACACAUACACACAUACACACAUACACACACAUCAUACACACAUACACACAUCAUACACACAUACACACAUACACACAUCAUACACACAUACACACAUCAUACACACAUACACACAUACACACAUCAUACACACAUACACACAUACACACAUCAUACACACAUACACACAUACACACACAUCAUACACACAUACACACAUCAUACACACAUACACACAUCAUACACACAUCAUACACACAUACACACAUCAUACACAUCAUACACACAUACACACAUCAUACACACAUACACACAUACACACAUCAUAUACACAUACACACAUACACACACAUCAUACACACAUACACACAUCAUACACACAUACACACAUCAUACACACAUCAUACACACAUACACACAUCAUACACACAUACACACAUACACACACAUCAUACACACAUACACACAUCAUACACACAUACACACAUCAUACACACAUACACACACAUCAUACACACAUACACACAUACACACAUACACACAUACACACAUCAUACACACAUACACACAUACACACAUACACACACAUCAUACACACAUACACACAUACACACACAUCAUACACACAUACAAACAUCAUACACACAUACACACAUCAUACACACAUACACACACAUCAUACACACAUACACACAUACACACAUACACACAUACACACAUACACACAUGGCCCAUCAUGAGCCAGAGUUUGGCAGAGACAGGGAGAGCCCUUCCCUGAGCAGUGAUUGAUUAUUGGUAGUUCUCGCAGUGGCCCAGGCUGGAUGCAAGCUCACUGCUACGGCUUUGGCCUUCUGAACACUGGGAUGAUGGGUGUAUACCACCAUUCUCUAGUUAACUAGAAAUAUCUUGGCCAGGUAUGGUGGCUCACACAUGUAAUCCCAGGACGUUGGAGGCUAAGCCAGGAGAAUCCCUUUGAGUCCCAUGCCAUUAAAUUGCACAAUAAGUUCUAGGUCAGCUUAGCCUACAGAUUCAGACUCUGUCUCAAAAAAGAAAAAAACUCACAUAUAUAAAAUAAAUAAAUCUUUUUUUUAAAAAAAGAGUGCACCACUAUGCACAACUUAUAUUAACAUUUAAAAAAAUCCAGUUACUCUACCAAAACUCUCAAUCCUUCUUGAGCAUAAUGUUAGAAAUUGAACUAAAUGUCUGGUAUUUUCAUGUCUGACAAUAAUAUCUGUAUUAUCUCUGGUAUUUAUCUUGUCUUUUACUUCUUAUAGUUACUUUUUAUUUAGUACCAGAUAUCAAGAAUAAUUUCACAUGGAUAAUAGAAGUCUUUUUUUAAAUGCUAUUUCUAUCCAGAGAAGAUUUUUUUCUUCUUCGGGUAUGCAGCUCAUUUAAGGGCACUAGCAGUUCUAAUCACAAAAAUCCCAACCAAGGCAAUGUUUUGAAGCUGGGUUUUGUUUCCUGUAAGAAUUGGUCUGUUUCCGGUACCCUAACUUCUAGAGGAUGCUCAAGAAAGAUUGAGAGUUUUGGUAGAGUGGAUUUUUUUUAAUGUCAAUAUAAGUUGUACAUAGUGAUGCACUCUUUUUUUUUUUUUGUAAAAAGGAUUUAUUUAUGUUAUAGAUGUGAGUUUUUUUUUCAGACCACACCCCAAAUCCCUUUAUGCUUCCAGGGCUCCUUUCCCCUGGUGCACCCUGGGCUUGCAGAACCAGCAGUCACCCAGAUGUCAAGUCCUGUCUCUGGGCUUCCUUCUCCUUCUGACUCUUUGACUUACAUACAACUCAUCAUCUUCUAACUCCAGUGCCUUCCAAAGAUAUUGGAUCUGCUUCCCUCUUUCUUAGAAGAAACAUGGCUAGAUAUGAAACCCUAUUGAGCUGGGCCAUUUGAAGGAGAGUGCAGGAGAGAGCUGGGGAACAGCAUCUACCCUGUAUCCACAUAGUUUCUACAUGCCUGAGCAGUCUGCCUUUAGUCAGGACAAGGGGAAAGAAUAUGCUGAGGAGAGUCUGAGGAAGCCAGAAUGUUCCGAGUCAAGAAGGAUUAAUCAAUUCUUUUUCUUUCUUUCUUUCUUUGCUUUGGAUAGGCUAAGUCAAACUAGGUGACAUCUAAGCCCUAUAUAAUUUGAAAUUCUAGGAUUCUAUUAAAUGAAGAUGAGCUUCAUUUAGGUUAAUUUAGAAGUUUAAUUAGAACUUAAAGUUUCUCCUGUAGCGAUAAGGAGGCUUAUCACCAUAAAGAAAACUCCUAGGUUUUAAUUUCAGCACAAUAGCUCCCACUUGUAAAACACUGAACCAACUUCCAUCCAUAGUGUGCAAUGGAACUGAAACUGAAUUGUCCAGAACGAUCUACUUGCAAUGUUAUCUGCUAAGAAUGUGCUUUUCUCUGAAUCUCUACACAGUCAUACGGUGAAGUGGCUUCAUCCCUCCCCUAUCCUGUAUUGUGAUUUUUAUUCUUUCUUCCAUAUGCUUCAAAGGUUCUGGAUCAUUUCCUGUUCAUGGUAUUAGUAACUUCGCUUGCCCAGUCUUAUGUUCCUGUAUUCUUACACAUUGUUUUCCUGUCUUCUCUUUCUCUUAACCCCAUUUCCCACUUCUCUCCUCCGAGCUAUAAUUUCCACCGUGCUCUGUAGACCUUGUUCUCUACAGCAUAACAAGAGGAGGUGUUGCCCCUAGGUUCUCUUCUGCAUUCUCCUUUAUUGAAUAUCUGUUUGGCCAUUGGCUUCCGUUGAGCUCUAAUUGUCUUGAGGGGAUCCUGCUUCUCCUGUAGCUUUCACUUUCCUCCUCAUCUCAAACUGUCAUGUCAAGCUCAUGACUCCUUUACCAUUUAAAACUCACCAGCUCCUUGCAGCCCUGGAUAGUCUACCCCUGAUUGUCUUACCCAAGUACUCCAGGACUCAGAUACUGUCUGUUCUCAUGCCAGCAUAGAAACUACAGUAUUGAGGCUUUCUUCAAUUCGAUGACCACAAAGCCCAAAGAUCCACCCAGCUACCUACACAUAGUGUUCCACUCCGCUAUUGAAUUCACUUUGCUGACUCCAUAGGAGAUAUUUGGCGUCUUCUUUCAUGACCCAGGCCCUCUCUCCUCCUUCAUAUGUCAGAGUAAGAGCAAAUGUAAUAUGAAGAGAGUCACAUCAUCUCUUGCAGCACCAAUUCUGGGAUUGACAUUCUCUGUCAGUGCUCCUAUUGCAGGAGAAGAGGACCUACCACUUCCCUGUACUGCCAACCUGUUCUUUUUCUCUGAAUUCUAAACGUUAUUUGGAUGUGAGUCUUUAUUGUGACAGCAUGUCUCUCUGACAUAGGAUCUUUCAUUAUUUAUCUCCUGUGUUGAGAAACUUCCCUUUUAAAGGUUAUGAACACACACAGUUCACAGAGAUAAGUAUCCUAAAUAUUUGAAAAGACACGCAAGCCAAUCUAUAAAACUGUACAAAAUAAAACUGCAGUGAAAUGCCAUUUUUAUCUUACUGGCAAAAACACAAAAGUCUGAAAGACGUUGUGCAUGAGAAAGGAGCACCCUGUUUAAUCAAGACUGCCUCCCUCCAGUGCUGGAGGAUUGAACCUUGGGCAUGCUAGGCUCUACCCUGAAUAGCCUUCAUCCUGGAAGGGUCAGUUUCAUAUUUCACUGCUUGGGGGGGAGGUUGCAACUUUACAUCAGUUGGGUACUAUGUAACAGCAUUGUGAAGCACAUAUAGCCUUGGGCCUCAGUCCCCUGUCUCAAGUUCACCCUAUAUCAGACUGUGCAUCUUAGAGUGACCUCCAGACUUGGCUCUGUACUCUUUCUGGAUAGUUCUGUCCUGUCCCAAACCUUUAAAUACCCUUUUGUAAACUACUGACCCUGACUUUAGGCCUGGGGCUCAGAAACUCCUCUGGCUACCGACCUGUGGCUGUGGAUACUGACUCUCCUCUCAGGGUGCCCGGAUGCUGCCAAUACACCGGCUAGGAGAGGACUGAGAGAAGUCUGGAAGGGGCGGGGUCUGCAGUCAUCCUGGGCAUCAGAUGCCUAUGUAUGCCAGGCCAAGGAAGGUGGGCGGAGUCUGGGACAAACAGGAUCCAGAUCUAGUUGGCUUUCUUGGUCUUAGCUUGUCGUUAACUUCUUUAUUGGGGGUGAGUUUGAACUGAACACAUACUUCAUUGGGGGUGAACCAAGGGUUAUAUUGUUUUGGGGGUGAGAGUAUCCAGAGUGGCAAAAUGUCAUUGGCUGAAAGCUAAGAUACUGAGAUGCCUCAUUUGCAUGGAGAGGCGUUCCAGGCGCUUUGCUUCCUGACUACUGGUGACCACCUGCUUGCAGGGUCUCCAAGGCAGGCACACAAACAGGGCGGGAGUUAACCCUACUCCUGCUGGUCUCAGGAUAAGGUUUUAAUCUCAGGUUUGAGAUUUCUAUGGUUUGGACAUGCUCAACCUCAAACAUCCCGUGCAGUUCCUCAGCUGUCCGGAUCCACAUGCCCCACACGGACCAGCCUAUUUACACAGGCUAUGUGUUGGGCUGAUGGUACUUCAAACUUAUGGUGGCCCAAAUAAAAUGGAUUUUCCAUCUCCCCAUCUACCCCCACAAAUGUCUAUGUUCUCCACGAGCUCCUCCUCCCCCAGCCUUUGAUUUUUACUUAACUGUGAACAACUUUGUAUAUUCCUUGCAUUCUCUUUGUCUUUUGGCUAAGAGCCAGUGUUUUUAGCCUUUGACUUUAUACACUUUCAGCAUUACUUCUCAAGGAUGUUGGCUUUGCCGGCAUUCCCUAGUUUCUACUCCACCCUUCACUCUCGCACUGGCCCCAACAGUAGGGUUGCUUCUCACCAUGGUCCCUGCACUGUCUCUCCCUUCCUUUGCGGCUCCUAGCUCUUUCCCCAGUUCCUGCAAGGUGACGUUCUGUCUGUGACCUCCAUCUUGUAUUUGUGCUUUGAACAAAAUGCUAAUUAAGUGCUUAAGUGACAAUGUAGGGUGUGUAUAACUGGGAUUGUGAGGCAUAGCUGCAAAGAAAGUGGAAUGCCAUAGCUCAUGUCUGCCAGUUAGCCUUGAGGAACAUUUAUGGCAAAAUAUAGUGUAGCCAACCAGGAGGCACAGCAAGAAUGAGAUGGUCUUAAAAGGCACCAUCUACCUGCUGUGGUAAACCCCAAGUGUCUUCCUGUCUGUGUUGGAGACCAGUCACUUCAUUGGGUGCUAGAAUGCUGGCUCUCUGGGUUGGGCCUAUGUCUUUGAUGUAUUUCAUUAACUGCAAAUUUUAACCCUGGGAUGAAAGUCCAGAAUCUGCUGCUCUCCAUAGCCACAGUGCUUCACAAGAUCUGCUAUCUCGUGGUGUCUCACUGUAGUUUUGUCCUGGUCUCUGAUCGUAACUCCUCUGCUAUUGACACUUUAUUUUGGCCUUAUCCAAGCCAGAGUUGCCCCUUCUUUCUUUUGAGCUUCAGAGAACAUCAUUUAAGUUGGUUUUGAACAAAUCCGAUCGUGUUUCUUUAGUGUCAAGUUCUCCAGUCGGUUACGCUAUUCUUCCUCAGUGUAGCCAGGGUAACUGCCUGAGCUUUUCAUUAGACUAAGAUAGCAGUAGUAAGGCUUCUACUCAUACCCAUGGGCUUGCUCGCCAUGGUCCUUUAACAUUACAUCAUCUGUGUGUAUGGAGACACACUAUAAUCCACAAAUACUUAAAUAUGAGUGAAGAGCUGCUUCCAGAAAUGUCAUUCAUCCUCAGUGAUACAAAAUUGUCCCUAAAAAUCUCACUCGUCAUGUGAAUUCGGAACGUUUAUUAUCGGUAAAAGUAGAACUAGAAAGUGUGGUGUUCUCAGGAGGCACAUGUGUGGGGUUAUAAAUUGAAUAGGAAUAAUCUAGCGGAAGCAGGUGAGGACUAGUAAUUCGCAAAAGAUUGCCGUCGCAUUGUUGUUGCAACAAUUGCUACACGUUUCUAAUUACAAUUACCGUCAUGAUUAGGCAAAUGGGAUGAGAUUUUUAAUACGAAAAUUACUGAAGACUCAUUCUUCCCUUCCGUGUAAGAGGAUUUGAGUAUUAGAGCAUCACUGACUCCACCUGCCAGGGAUCUUCUUGUGCCUGAGAAGACUCUCCCUACGUGUAGCAUUCAUUGAUAGGUCAGACAGCCCAUAGUUUACCCGAAGCCUUCCACAAGAAAGCAGAUCUCGGGGCUGGGGAUUUAGCUCAGUGGUAGAGCGCUUACCUAGAGAGCACAAGGCCCUGGGUUCGGUCCCCAGCUCUGAAAAAAAAGAACCAAAAAAAACAAAAAACAAAAAACAAAAAGAAAGCAGAUCUCUCAAGUGGGAGGGCUUUCUUAUCACAUGGCAGCCAGUGGUUGCUCUUACGGGGAAGCACAGGAGAGCUGGCAGCUAGAGGAGAGCUCACAGAAGGGUCUUCUGGGCCUAGAUGAUGGGGACAACGUGUGUUCAUCUACACUCCAUUCUCAGUACCGCUCUGUGAUGGUUUGUAUGUGGUUGGCCGGGGAGUGGCACUGUUAGGAGGUGAGGCCUUGUUGGAGUAGGUGUGUCACUGUAGGCGUGGGCUUUAAGACCCUCAACUUAGCUACCUGGGAGCCAGUCUUCCAGAAGUCUUCAGAUGAAGAUGUAGAACUCCCAGCUCCUCCUGCACCAUGCCUGCCUGGACACUGCCAUGCUCCCACCUUGAUGAUAGUGGAAUGAACCUCUGACCUGUAUGCCAGCCCCAAUUAAAUGUCAUCCUUAUAAAAGUUGCCUUGGUUAUGGUAUCUGUUCACAGCAGUAAAACCCUAACUAAGACACUCCCCAAGUUCAUGACAUACCAGAGACUAUUCUUAAAUAGUUACUAAAUAACAAAUGAUGACAUGUAAUUUAUAAUUAUUUUUUAAAUUCCCACAUGCCAGGAAAUCAGGCAUAACCUAGCUAUGUCUUCUAUUUAGGGCUUUUCACUGAACUUAAUGUCUUCUUAAGAAUUGUCUGGGAGGGCUGGAGAGAUGGCUCAGCCGUUAAAGGCGAGGCACAUAACCAAAGCUCUAAGAAUUGUCUGGGAAGAGCCACUUUGUAGCUCAUUCGUGUAGUUGUUUGGUUGUUGGUAGAACUCAGUUUCUCCCUGUCAGAAUGGAGCCUCUCUUUGUUCUUUGCCAUGCGGCUUAUCCAUGUGACAUCUCGGAACAUGGCCACUUGCUGUGUCAGAGCCAGAGGUGAGAAAGCAGGGGAGAAUGCCAGCAAAAAGCAAGUGUGCCCGUAAACAGACUCGGUAAGGGCCUGUGCCUAGUCAUGGACAUGGCACCCCUUCUUGUGGCGAUGUUCAUUUCUGAAGAAAAAGUCACUAAGUCUGACUGACCUACAUACAAGAAGCCUGGAUUACACAGAGAAGUAAAUUAUUGGGUCAGUUUGGAAAGUUGCCUACCAGAUCUUGAUGGCUGUGUUAAGUUAUUUAAGGCCAGACAUAGGAGCACUUGCCAGCAAUUUUAGUACUCAGGAGGCAGAAGUAAAGAAAUUGUAAGUUCAAGGACAGCCUGGGCUAUAUAGCAAGAACAUCUCAAAGGAAAAUAAAAUCACUUGCAUUAAACAUCAUGUUUGAUAAGAAAUAACAGGUUAGGGUUAGAGAGAUGGCUCAGUGGUUAGGAACAUUUGCUGUUCUUGUAGAGGACCUGAGUUCAGUUCCCAGCUCCUACAUCAGAGAGCUCACAGUGUGCUUAUAGCUCCAGCUCCAUAGGAUCCAGUGCCUCUUCUUACCUCCUCUAGGACACACAUACACACUCACACACACACAUACUCACACACACACACACAUACACACACACAUACAUACCACACACACACACGAAUACACACACACACACACACACACGAAUACACACACACACACACACACACACACAAGGGGGAGGGAGGAUGCGGGGAAUGAAUUUUAUAAAAAGAGAGAAAAAAAACCAAUUCAUUUUGUCUUGAAACAAAAACAAAUGCUAACACAUAAUUUAGCACCUUCAUCAGUCAUAUUUUUAAAAAAUAUAUUUCCAGAUAGUUACAGUGUAGUAAUUAAUAACCUUCUGAGAACUCAAAGACCCGAAUACAAGGGAGUGUAUUGCAGCAGGCUUAAUCAAUGUUUAGUGUUGAUAGAAUGUAAAAUCGAAGCACCAGGGAUAGAAAUAAAAUUGCCUUUCUGCAGAAAGAUCCUCAACAAUUGAAAAACAGCUCUAUAAAACUGGAGAACAGCUUGAUGAUUUAGAAAAUAGAAACCGCAAAAAUAUUCUGUAGAUCCUAGAGAUGUCUCCAGUGUUCAUUACCUUGUCUGCUUUUGAGAGUCAAAAGGAAGGGUAACAGAAAGGGUUUUUGCUCUGGCCCUGAGCCACUCUGGGUUGAGACUAUUAACUAAGCAUAGUCUGAUCUAAAAAUAAACCUUCUGCACUCUUAUUUUCAAGUAAGUCUCGUUCUUCAUAUCCAAACCAGGAUAUAGACAUGAAAUUACUAGCUUCUAUGUGCGCUUAUCUGAUGAAUUCUUCAAUAAAUGGGUUUGAUGUUAUAUAUGAUAAAAAUGCAUUAGAGCCACAGGAUUAUCAGUGCUUUAAAACAACACAGUCCCGUUACUCACCUGAGCAACCUGAGUUACUUCAGGGAUGCUAAUUGGACGUGGGUGAGACUAGAGAUCAAUGGUAGGCUGGCAACAUCUCUUUGAGAGACCCUGUUAGGUAUUUGCCCUAUGCCCAGGAAAUGUCUCCACCUAGCAGUUGAUUAUUAGCAUAGGCCUUGACACUAAAAGUUGUGGUAUCAUGUGGUUUCACCAGACUCAUCUGAGGCAGGCUGAUAAGAAUGAAGAUGAUGACAGCCUGAAGCCAUCCUUGUGAUGAGACCCACGGUAGAACUGAGAAGGCCACAAGCGUCACAUUUAGGUAGAUGAGGGUCUUUCACUGCCUGUUACUGGCUGUGUGGUGUCAGUGGCACUUAGCUUCCUUGGAAACUUAGUGUCCUCCUAUAUAAUGGGGAAGAGAUAGCAAAGAUGACGAUGGUGGUGAUGGUCACAGACAACUUUUAGGAAACCCUUAUUAAAUAACAAAUGAAUGCUGGGUGAUGUGUGUUUUAAUUCACUUCUGUUCUCAUUACAUCAUACUGCAUUACUGUGUAGUAACCGAUGAGGUAUAAAUAUAUUCCUAGUCAAUGUGUGUGUGUGUGUGUGUGUGUGUGUGUGUGUGUGUGUGUAUGUCAGAGAGUACUUUCAGCUACGUUUAUCCUUUGAGGUAUCUUAUGGAGUAUGUAUCCAUAUCAAUAUAUGAGCACAGAUAUGUAUUCAUGUGCGUGUAUAUAUAGUUGUGCACACAAAGGGCAUAUUAUUUACUGCCAAGCAGUAUGCUUCACAUGCAUUUAUCUCACUUCCUCCUCAAAACAGCCCUGUGAUAAAGAUUACAGUAGACAAUUCUCACAGAGACAGAGAGCGACAGAGACAAGGAUACUUCGUGUGAUAACAUCGGUUUCCAGCUUCACCGCUGCUUACUGGAGAACCAGACACGGAUUCAGCCAAUUCUAACUUAGCCCUUCUAGUGUAGAGGCGAGCGAGUUGUGGGGGUUGAUUCAGCCCCACAGUUGGGUGGGGCUCAGUUCUGCCUCCAAGACCAUGUGGUUCUUCCUCACCCCAGGAUCUGCGGGUGUUGAUUCCAUUCUUAAUGCCUUAUCUCCCAUCUUUACUUACUUGGAGUGAGGAGGCUUGAACUCUUAGAUCUAACUUUCAUUUUUGGGUAUUUCUUGACAGAAAGAGCAAUGGUAAGUGCUCUUAUUAGGUUGGUGCGGUUGUGGGUGUCCCAGUAGCCGAGAGCAAAUGGCGGGAAUAAACCCGGUGUCACUGGAUACAACAACUUCCUUCUAUUCCUUCAGUUUACUUUUCUGGGCUAUUUUUUUUUUACAUCAAUUCAGAAUCUCUGUAGGUUUUUUUUUCUUCAUAUGUAGUUAACAAUCUGAAUGACACAUUCUUUAUAAUACCACAAUAAUUCCGUCUAUUACAUCACUUAAUUUAUAGGAGUCCUAACACUAAAAUCGAUAAACAUUAUUUCUAAAAUGUCAAGAGUGUUAAUGGUGUGAUUAAGAAAGAAAAGAUCCUACAGUUUCCCUGCACAGCACCCGUUGAUAUACUGUUGUCGAGCACACCUAACUGAAGCUGCAAUAUGGGAGAUUUAAAUCAUUAAGACUCUGUCAACUUUAAAAAUGUGUGUCAGAAGCUAUUUUUAGCUUCACGGAUCUUCUGUGCCAUAUUGUGGAAUUCUGUUAGCAGAGAAAGGGAGAGACUACAUGUCUCAGAGAAGAUUGUCUCAGGUUGUUUUGAGACAUAUCAACAGUUGCUAAGGAACCAUCUCUAAUGCUUCUGGGAAAUUCUGUAAUACUUCACUUAGAAAUUGGGGGAGAUUUUUUUUUUAUAGAGCAAAUCUUCGUGGACAAGGAAAGCAUAUAACGGCUGAUAUUAGGGAACUGGAAAAAUUAUUUUAACUUUCCUAGAAGAUUGAGUUUAAAUGGGGCUUCCUAGCACCGUAUAAUCUCCUUACAGAAUCCUGGAAGCCUCCGUUUACAUCUGAUUUUAGAACAAGCAGCAUUUUAAAAUCUGGUCACAUUUCAGUUUAUUUUCCAUGAUUGAUGCUCUAAAAUGGAGAUUAGCACUUCUUUUCACACGGAGAAUUAAUUAGCAUGCUAGCAUGGUGGUUUCACUGAUUUUCUUCCCUUUUGGUGAAAAGCGAUCUCAGUAGUAAACAUUUUGUAGGCGCUGACUGUUUACUAGACCCUGCCAGACACAGUCUUGUCACCUAAUGGCACUGCUGGGUGAAUGGUUCCCUCUUUUCAUGUGGCUCUGCAGAAGGUGAAAGACAUUCAGUAGCCAGCUUUCGGAAGACUCAUGCUGCUACUCAACUCCCUUGCACAAUCCUUGUGAGGAUGUUGGACCAGUGUCUGGUAAUGCCUUCACAUCCAUUAAGCCUCAUCCCCCUGGCUGGACAGGAGGCUGUUCUUUCAUAAGAUCAUUGCUUUGAGACAAAAUAGUGUUAGCUAAAAUGUUUGAUCUACAGAUGUUAUCACUUCUGGAGUUACUUAAACAAUAGAGUAGAAAUCACUGGGUGUUUUCUUUCUUUCUCAUUCACAAACACUAAGUGUGCACCUAGUAUGAGACCGUUGUUAGAGUUAGCACUGAGGCUAGGGUACAGUUAUCACGCAGCCUUGGUCUUCACAGGUCUUUAGUGUAACAGAACCACUGCUCCAUUCACCUGCUCCAUUCACGAGCAGCCGCAAAGGAAGAGGCUGAGGACCAUAACUAUUGCAGAGCCAUCAGGGAUGGUACAGGCUGAAGAAAUACCCCUCCCAUGCACACCUUCUUCCGCUUGAGUUCUCCAGUUCUCUCUUGGUCCCUGUAUACACCAUGCUAUUGUUCCACAAUGUCAUAACUUUGCUUCUAUGGUUAUGGCUCUUUCUCAAGCAUCCUUCCUAGCUACUAGAGUUUACCAGCAUAUAAGUCUCUAAACAGGUACAUUUUUUGGCCUUCAGAUUGGAGAGCAUGUGCCAAAUACAAUGGUAAGUUAGAAGAUGCCUGGAUAUUAGAUCAUUGUAGAAAUAGGAAAACCCAGAUAUUGCCAUUUUUUGUUCACACAAAGGUUUUUCCCACAGCUAAAGAAGCCAAUAAUGUGAGAUCAAACCAUGUAAUGGGACUCGGAUUCUCCAACAAAGUAGUUCAAGGACCUGAUGUUGACAGCAUUGCUUGUGGGCAUGGAAGAUAUGUUUAAAAUAAAUAAAAAAUGAUAAUGGCCGCAAGCAAAUGCUAAAUACCAAAUGAAUGAUUCAACAGCUGUGAGAUAGAGAAAUGUAAAAAAAUAUAUAAAAGCCACAGUCCUUGAGGAUAUUGUUGCAAACUCAGCAUUAAUUUGGAGUCUGAAGUCCUGACUUUGCACUCCAAUCAGAAUACCAACCAAAGGACAUUUUGCUGGUGUUUUACUGAUUAUGUUAACAAGAGAGCGUGUGUUAGAGGUUCACUAAAGAUCAUGACUAAAGUGGGCCAAACUGAUGUUGUUCGUGCAUUUCUUCCUACAUUAUAGGCAUAGAAGUCAUCCAAGAUGACCAAUAACUUCUCAGUCAUGCCUUAGAAAGCUCAGCUUUCUAAGUUUUAUUUUAAAGCAAAAACUGGGGUCUAGAGAGAUGGACCAUGGGUUAAGAUGCUGGCUGCUCUAACAAAGGACCUGAGUUCAGUUCCCAGCAUCCACAUAGUAGCCUGUGAGUUCAGCUCAGAGGAUAGGAUGCCCUCUUCUGGAUUCUGCAGGCACUUCAUGCAUGCAAUGCACUUAUAUGCAGGCAUAAUAUCCAUACACUUAUAUGCAGGCAUAAAACCAAGACUGCUUUGGUCUAAUACUAGAUUUCCCAAAUGAAUUAUCAAAUGUCAAUCAAGAGGAAGAUACUGAUUCAAUGCAAUCCCCAUCAGAAUUCCAAUCCAAUUCUUCAGAGAGUUAGACAGAACAAUUUGCAAAUUCAUGUGGAAUAACAAAAAACCCAGGUUAGCUAAAACUAUCCUCAAAAAAAAAAUGACUUCCAGAGAAUCACUAUCCCUGAUCUCAAGCAGUAUUACAGAGCAAUAGUGAUAAAAACUGCAUGGUAUUGGUACAGAGACAGGCAGAUAGACCAGUGGAAUAGAAUUGAAGACCCAGAAAUUCCCACACACCUAUGCUCACUUGAUUUUUGACAAAGGAGCCAAAACCACCCAAUGGAAAAAAGAUAGCUUUUUCAUCAAAUGGUGCUGGCUCAACUGGAGGUCAACAUGUAGAAGAAUGCAGAUUGAUCAACGCUUAUUACCCUGUACAAAGCUUAAGUCCAAGUAGAUCAAGGACCUCCACAUCAAACCAGAUACACUCAAACUAAUAGAAGAAAAAGGGGAAAAAUCUGGAACACAUGGGCACUGGAAAAAAUUUCCUGAACAAAACACCAAUGGCUUAUGCUCUAAGAUCAAGAAUUGACAAAUGGGAUCUCAUAAAACUGCAAAGCUUCUGUAAGGCAAAGGACACUGUUGUUAGGACAAAACAGCAACCAACAGACUAGAGAAAGAUCUUUACCAAUCCUACAACAGAUAGAGGGCUUAUAUCCAAAAUAUACAAAGAACUCACAAAGUCAGACUGCAGGGAGACAAAUAACCAUAUUAAAAAAUGGGGUUCAGAGCUAAACAAAGAAUUCACAGCUGAGGAAUGCCGAAUGGCUAAGAAACAUCUAAAGAUAUUUCAACACCUUUAGUCAUAAGGGAGAUGCAAAUCAAAACAACCCUGAGAUUUCACCUCACGCCAGUGAGAAUGGCUAAGAUCAAAAACUCCGGUAACAGCAGAUGCUGGCGAGGAUGUGGAGAAAGAGGAACACUCCUCCAUUGUUGGUGGGAUUGCAGACUGGUACAACCAUUCUGGAAAUCAGUCUGGAGGUUCCUCAGAAAAUUGGACAUUCCACUACCUGAGGACCCAGCUAUACCUCUCUUGGGCAUAUACCCAAAAGAUGCCCCAACAUAUAACAAAGACACGUGCUCCACUAUGUUCAUAGCAGCCUUAUUUAUAAUAGCCAGAAGCUGGAAAGAACCCAGAUGCCCUUCAACAGAGGAAUGGAUACAGAAAAUGUGGUACAUCUACACAAUGGAAUAUUACUCAGCUAUCAAAAACAAUGCCUUUAUGAAAUUCAUAGGCAAAUGGAUAGAACUGGAAAAUAUCAUCCUGAGUGAGGUAACCCAAUCACAGAAAAACACACAUGGUAUGCACUCAUUGAUAAGUGGAUAUUAGCCCAAAUGCUCGAAUUUCCCUGGAUGCACAGAACACAUGAAACUCAAGAAGGAUGACCAAAAUGUGAAUGCUAUACUCCUUUAAAAAGGGGAACAAGAAUACCGUAGGAGGGGAUAGGAAGGCAAAGUUUAGAGCAGAGGCUGAAGGAACGCCCAUUCAGAGCCUGCCCCACAUGUGGCCCAUACAUAUACAGCCACCCAAUUAGAUAAGAUAGAUGAAGCAAGAAGUGCAGGCUGACAGGAACCAGAUGUAGAUUUCUCCUGAGAGACACAGCCAGAAUACAGCAAAUACAUAGGCGAAUGCCAGCAGCAAACCACUGAACUGAGAACGGGACCCCCACUGAAGGAAUCAGAGAGAGGACUGAAAGAGCUUAAGGGGCUUGAGACCCCAUAUGAACAACAAUGCCAACCAACCAGAGCUUCCAGGGACUAAGCCACUACCCAAAGACUAUACAUGGACUGACCCUAGGCUCCAACUGCAUAGGUAGCAAUGAAUAGCCUAGUAAGAGCACCAGUGGAAGGGGAAGCCCUUGGUCCUGCCAAGGCUGGACCCCCAGUGAAUGGGAUUGUUGGGGGGAGGGCGGUAAUGGGGAGAGAAUGGGGAGGGGAACACCCAUGAAGAAGGGGAGGGGGAGUGGUUAGGGGGAUGUUGGCCUGGAAACUGGGAACGGGAGUAACAUUUGAAAUAUAAAUAAGAAUACCCAGUUUAAUAAAGAUGGGGGGAAAAAGAACUGUAAAAAAAAAAGAUGGAGAUACUGAGCCUUUUUAUGCCUCAGUUUCUCACAGUCACUUCAUGAACUAAUAAACAUUCCUUGCACAUAGAAUGUAGUCACACUGUGCAUAUUAGCUAUUGCUAAUAUUAAUGAUUUUACUUCAGGUUGAUAAUGAAACCUAGUAUUCAUUAAAAAAUUUGCCAAAUUUAAAAUUAACUAUAUUAUAUAGUUCAUGAAGGAGUUAUAGUAUUAUAUUUAUAGAGAGAUCCAUGGCUUUUAUCCCAUGAAGCAGUCAUCAUUUGGUGGGCCAUCUGGCAGUGAUCAUAGUUCUAUUGAAAUCUACCACUAAGGCUAAUUACUCCCCAAGUGGGCUCUUGGGAGUGGAAGACAUCCCUUAGACUCUCAGGCACAUUGACUGCAGUUACACGGUACGAGCAGAACUGUGCGUGCCAAGAUAACAGUCAGGCCAUGUCAUUCUUUUAGGUUUCAAAGAAAACAAGUGUCACUCUUAAGAAGUUUAGCCACACCGUCCCUGAUACAGUCCUCAGAAUGGUGCUGUAAUUUGUAUGCCAUAUACUUGGCUUUAACAAGGCUUUUAAGUCUGUUAGGCAGGUUGGAGGAUUAGAAAGCCCUACGCAGACAGGCUGUGCACGGACAUUUAUAAGCAGCAUUUGUUUACUCUGUAAAGAGCCAGUGGCGAGAAUAUAGAUGCAGACGAGAGAUAGCAGACACAUCUGCAGUGACUAAUAGCACCAAACAAGGCCACGCUCAUACACCAUUAUCAUCUGCUAUCGGGUUUUGUUUUUUCCGUCGCUUUUUUUAAGAUGCCCUUUGAUGCCUCCAGAGAUUGAAAUUCCAUAUAAGCACGAAGGUUAGGUCAGAUAAGAAUGCACGCAGCCUCUACUGUAUGCAGAUGUCAGAAGAAUGUUAUUAGUUGGAAUAUAAAUAAUCUUAUUACAUACCGUCUGCAUGCCGGUGUCUGCACACUUGUGGCUUGUCACCAGAAUGAGGAAUGACAACACUUAGGCUCUUGCUAAGUUGUGCAUCACAGUCUCGAGGCAGAGAGAGACUCUCUGAAGUUUCUAUGGAUCACCCCUGGAUGUGAGAGAUAAAUUUCAUCACCCAGCACUGUCAUGUCUUGCAGUCCGUCAUCAAUAACUAACAAACAGAGAUCUAUGGAAUUGGUAUACAAGGCUCGGUGAGAAAUGGCACUGUUCGGGACCAGAGAGCUAUAGAGUGAGCUCCUUUCCCCAAAGAUGGGCAGUAGCACGCAGAUAACACAGAAGAAUCGGUCAAUGAGAAUAUGAUACUGUUGAUACUAGUUGGCCAUAACUGGGCUGGAGAGAUGGCUCAACAGUUACUUGUACCGCUCUUGCAGAGGACCCCAGUUCAAGGCCCAGCGCCCAUGUUGAACAGCUUACAAACUCUCUAACUCCGCCUUCAGAGAGAUUCAAUGUCUCUGGCUCCUAGGGAUACGUGCACUCACAUGCAUAUGUCCACACAGCUAAUUUUAAAUAAUAAAAAUAUCUUAAAAAGUACUACACAAGACCGCAAUAGAACUUUAUAGUCUUACACGUGGUGGUGCAUGUAAUCAUGGUAAAGUCAUAGACCAUUGAUAGAGAUUAUACAGAGAGAUGUUUUUAAAAUGGGCUUUUUGGAUUUUUAUCUAUUUUUAGUCUGUGUGUAUGGGUGUUUUGCCUGCAUGUCUGUAUAUGUGUGCAGAGUCCCGAAGAGGGCAUGAGAUCUCCUGGAACUGGUGUUUGACUGACUGAGUGUGGUCUUAGAAGAAAACCCAGGUCCUUUGGAAGAGUAUCCAGUGCUCUUAACCACUGAGUAAUUUCUCGAGCCCCUAAAUAUGUGUAUAGUUUAAUUAGAACACAUCCCUUCCUUUCUUGUCUUUUCUCCUUCUAGUCCUGUCCAGCCACCCUCCUUUGAGGCACUCCUGUGUCUCCUGCUCUCCAGUUGAUAGCUUCUUUUAUUAUUGAUGUACAGUACAUACACAUACAUGUGUAUGUAUACAAUGCAUAUGUGUGUAUGUAUGUGUAUGUCUGAAUAAUACAGUUUAGUGAGAUCGUUUUUGUUGUUUGUAUAUAUAUUGCUUUGGUACUGACCAUUCUGUACUGGAUAACCAAUAAGGGAGCUCAUCCCUGGGGGGAGCAGCUAAUUUUCCUCCCAGAAGACAUUCAUUGGCUGUAGUUAAAAUAGACUUUAUUGUGAGCUGAAAUGGAGAGAAUUUUUCAGUUAGAAAGACCAGCACAGCAGUAAGAAAAUGCUAGCCAGCUAUAAUGGCUGCAGAGAGCAAACCAUGUUAGAAAUAUACAGUGUGGGCAAAGCCAGCCUUCUGUAACUGGGACAGCAUACCUGUGAGGAUGAACAGCGGCAGCUCAGAUAUAACUCGACCCAGAAUAACCACUGAGCAACACACGAACCUUUGUGGUUGUGUUUGCCAGCGAGUAUUUAGGGCUUAGAUUAUGGUUUGGCAAGUGGUGGAUACGCAAUGAAGCCUUCAUUCAAUUCGUGAUUAGGUAUAGUCUAAAAGGCAGGCUGGAAAAAUUGUCUGGAACAAGUUGCAGGAGAAAUAGAGGGCUUCGCAGUUGGAACUUUAUCAUAUAGGUAUAGAUUUUUAGCCAGGCAAAACCCAAAUACAUUAAUCAGGCAUUAUCCUGUGACCCACGGCUCUGAUUGGUUGUUGAAAGAGGUUUCUGUUCCCAAAAGGGUUGAGCAAGGGAUGAUGUCAUGUUAGUAUCUGAGUUUCUGUAUUGAAUGGAAAAGGAGAAAAUGAAGAACCCAAAGCAAAGAAGGCCUGAGGAGAGGUGCCUGCCAGAGUCUGUUUGGGGUCUGUUUGUCUUCCAGUGGUAGAAGGAAAUGGGGGUGUUUGGUGGAAGCUGUGCUUUGUGAGAUGCUCAAUGGUGCUUUGGAGAAAUAAGGGGAUAAGAGCAAUGAAGUGAACAUAGAUUCCAAAACCCCUCCUUCAAUGAAGGUUACUUCUGAGCCUCCGAAGGCGUCCAUCUGAGACGCUCUUCCCGUCGCCGUGGCGAGGUGGUGUUUCUCUGAGGUCUCAAUUAGACAGAAGGGGUUGCUCUCCUUCCUUGAGUUAAAGAAAAAGGUCUGUGUCUGCUGUAAAUUGUAAAACCAAAGGAAUGCCUAAGUUGGAUUUUUCAAAAUUACAUGGUUUAAACUUUUUGUCUUAUGCAUGAAAACUGUUAUUUCUACAAAUAAUCGGGUGUCAGCAACGUGGCAGACAGGCAGAUGUUUCGUCAGCUGACACCGCUGAGCCCUGUACUUGUUCAAUAUGAAAAAGUACAAAGUAAAAGAUUCCAAGAUUUGCGAAUUCAAGAAAUAGAUUUCCUCGUUGCCAGUGCAAAGUAGUUUGACUAGAUCAUAUUUGAAGGGGAAUGUUGUAAUCUUACAAACGAACAUACCAGCUCUCACAGUGCCCCUCAGUUAACGCAAAGACUUGAGAGCUGUGACAUCAGAGGAGCUUCUGCUCACAGUCACCUAUGAUCACGUGAGUCAGCAGGGAAGAGAAACAUCCUGGGUUUUAAGCUGACCAGAUGAAGAAGGCUGUGGAAAGGAGACGCUUUCUUAUGAAGGAAAACACUUCGCUCCUCAAGCAGAUUGCAAAUGAGCCCCCCUCCCCCUCCCCGUUGCUUCCUAGACAUGUCACAAGAGUCUAGAACCAGUGACCUUGGCUACUCUAUAGAGUGGGAGGGUGCAGUGGCCAUAGCGCUGGCCAUAGUCUCCAUCUCCUCAGUUUAUGCCAGUCUCUGCCUGUUUCCAGGGCUGCAGCAGGUAUAAAGUCUCCAUGCCUACUGUGUGGUGGAUGGCUCUCUGGCGGACUCUGGUGGUGGAUGCUCUGCAUGUUUCCAGACAGAACAGCCCAAGACUGACUCUAUUAGAGAACAUUUGAAAAGAUAAUCAAGAAGUAUAAACAAAUAGCCCAUAUACUAAAGUCCCCUGUUUUGGACCUUAGUACAAUUUUAACUUGCAGCUAUGACUCUGAAGCAUCACAAUAUCACAGACAGUGAGCACAAGCGUCUUAGAGUGAGUACGCAUGUGACGUGUAACGCUGUUUCUUGGUUGAAGGGAAGGAAUUAAUCAUGUAAAGUCAACUCAAGGUAUGUGUGCCUGUGUGUAUUUAAGUUCUCAGAGCUCGUGUGCCUCUCAUUUUUCAGACAGGCACUUCUCAACAUAUGUCAGCAUGUCUGUGGGUUUUCUCACUGUGUUGCUAGCAUUUGGAUUGCCAGCCGGCCUUCAACCUGAGCACUAAAGUUUUUAAUUAUUAUAGUCAUUGAAUGAACAAAUGAAUUGGAGAUAUUGAUUUGUUAUAUUAAGGAGAGCUAAUGCAUGUGUUUCCACGCAUAUAUUAGCAUACUGCAUCAGAGAUCAUGUCUCAUCUCUUCCCCUUUUUUCCAUUUUAAUUUUUGAUAGACCAUGUAUAAUCAGUGAAAUAAACGCCAUCCAUUAGUGAGCUUGGUCUUCCCUGAAGUAUUAAUAUUCUAAACAAUCCUAUUACCCGAGCAUUAUUUUGAUAGUUUAUUAAAAGUCCUGCAGCUCUCACAUUGCUAUAUCUAAACAAGCUUUACGCAAUUAAAGUUAUAAUAGGAACUUUAUUACAAUGAUGUAUAACUUGUAUCAUCCUAAUAAAAGUUCCUGUACACAGCGAUGCUUUAAUAAUGCUGUUUCUGUAACCCUGCUUCCUUAGUAAUGGGGCUUCUCUCAUGGCAACUUCAUUAUUAGGAAAUGAUCUCAGUAAUAGAAAUGCAAAUACCGAGUUUGAAAGGAGCGUUGUGUGCACAGCUCUAUUAUUGACCUGCUGUCUUCUCAUGCAUUGCAUAUCAUCAUUAUAAGCCAACCAUGUAGAUUAUAGUUAUGAUUACGACCAUGCUGUUACAUUUUAGCAUUCAUGUCAUUCCAGGUUGGCACUGACUGCCAUUUUAAGAUGAAAUUCAGGGGUUAAAAUGAUUUAAAUUUUAAUUAAAAUUAGUUUCAAAAGCAUUAAAAUGACUUACAAAACUUUCUCUAAUUUCUAUUGUAUCUCAGAUUGAGUAGACAUCGGCCCUUAAAAUGGGGUGUUCCCUUGAUAUUCACACUGUCUUCUGAAUAGAUAUAGGAGAAUAAUGCUUUGAGGGAAAUGAUUUUAUAUCUCCAACUUUCAUAGAUACCCGCUCAAAAACCCUGACUGUGGAGACACUUGAAGCAGAGAUUUUCCCCUUCCACCCCUGCCCCAUGCCCUUUGAGCUUUGCUCAUACCAGGACACUGAACAAGCAGUAACUUGGCAACUUCAUUUAUGGCACCCCACGGCCCAGAUUAUACUUUUCAGUAUAAGGGAGCAGAGGAGGUAGGUAAGUGCUUCGGAUAUGGAGACAGAGAGUCUCCGAGGAGCCAUCUAAGCUUUCUUCUCCUAUCUAUAAGAUGGGGAUAAUGAUAGUAGGAUAUUGAAAUGGUCAUGGUGAUUUAUAUACAUAUGAAAAACUGUACUAAUAGAAAAUAUUUAUGUACUGAUGAAAAUAGGUGCUAAUACUUAUGUAUGCUAUACGAUGCUUUUACUCGUAGUUUCAAAAAUUACUUUUGCUUUGUAUGCUUCCUCCCUUAUUAAAAUUUAAAUAUAUUUGUUAUUUCAACCAACUAAGUACUAGUGAAAAUUUUCAGUGCCAAUUAAAUCAGAUACUCAAUAUAAUAUUUUCUGAAAAAUAUAUAUGUUCUCUAUAUAUAUUUGUUUUAAGCUUUACAUAAAGAUCAAUGAAAUUAUUUUAAACAUAAAAUAUAUAUUGAGAUAAAAAGUAGGAUGGAAAUAUGACAGAGAGAAAAAUAAAAGAUCCAAGAGUUUGUGUGUUUUUCAGUGAAUGAUGGUGGGUAUGUAUCUUCCGUUGAAAACAUCUAAGAGAGUUAUGUAGUAGUUUCAUUUACGAUCACCAGUUUGUACAGUACACUGAAAAUGACAUGUAUAUAGUGUUUAGGUACACAUAAACAAAAACAUUUGAAAAGUGAAGAUAUAACAGACAUGAAAUUAUCUCUAUAAUAUAUGUUUCUCUGAAUACCCACUUUGCUUGAAAACAGUGUGUUUUUUUUUUAACAAGUUCUGAAGCUGUGUAAAUCAUAGAAGUCAGAACCUCUCAGCCCUGCAUAAGAGACUUCACUGACACAUCUCUUACUUCCCUGAGUACUUGGCAUGCUCCCACAUAGGUAGUAAGCUGGGGCAGGAGCCUUCUAGGGCCUUGCUUUGCUCCAGGCAGGCUGGCUGAGCCCAUCCCUGCCCUGUGGCGGAGGAGGAGAGAUGGAGCUUGGAUGAACUGGCCUUUAUGGAGAACAUCCCAGGAUGUCAUUCUGUACUUAGAAAAUUGAAUAAGAGGAAAUGUGUGUGUCUUAAGCAUGUUUACUGCUUAUUACAUUUAUGUGAGUCGGCGUGUGCACAUUCGUUUUUGUUUUUUAUUUCAUACUAUGCUUCGUGUUGAAAGUUUGGAUGCCACCUUGUUUGUGAGUAAAUUUCAUAUCAGGAUAUCAAAGAUACAGUUCUGUAGGUCGAUAUCUAGACUUAAUAUUCCUGUUUCAAUUUUUCGUUGUAUUUCAGUUUUUAUCAUUGUUUGUGUGGAGGUCAGGCAGUCGGAGAACAGCUGGUUGGAGUCAGUUCUCACCUUCUACUGUGUAGUUCCCGGGGAUAGAACUCAGAUAGUCACAGUUGAUGGCAAGCCCCUUUAACCUUUGAACCAUCUCACUAGCCACUUCCUUGAUAUUCCUUUUCAGACCCUUUGCAGGGUAAAUAGAGUUUUUCUGAGGUGUAUGUUAACACUAUACACCGAUCAAUGCAGGAGCUCAGGCAAAUAUGAGCUUUAGUUAAUUUGAUUUUCUAUGGCCUACUUCUGUGGCCCUUUGAGACUCAACCAGCAGCUUGUAGAAGAGACUCAUGUCAGAUAAUACAAGCCUGUUCCUAGAAACUAGAGCUUUGAAGCAUACUAGUUUUGAAAAGUCACAGACUCUUGCCCUACCUGUCAGGACAUACUUUAUAUAUUUACAAGUGUUCUAGAUAGUCAAGCACAACCCUUCUCCCCGUGUCAUUUUGCAACAAGUCGGUCAUUUCUCAGUUCGCAUCCUCACAUCUCAGUGGUCAUGUCGAAAGUGGCUUAAAACCUAAGCUAGUUGCCUAGGACCUUAUAAAAGAUGCUGCGUACUGUUUAGAUGAAAUAUUGCAAAGUUGCAAUAUUAAGACAGUGUUACUUUACAAUGCAGUUUGUAUUGGGGCAACAAAAGUUAACUGAAUCUUCUUUUGAAGUGAUAGGCAAUAUAAAUAUUCCUACUGUUUUAACACAGUCAUAAAUGUUACUGUAGGGAGAUAAGCCAUAAGGAAGAAUAUGUAUGCGCAAUGUGUAAUAGUAUAAAACUGGAAAAUCAUCCAAGUGUUUCAUUGUGGUGUAACGUUUACACACUGUGAUUUGUUAACAAGAUGGAAUAUUAUGUAGAGGAAGUUGCAAUAAAGAAUAAUAUAUGUGAAAUAAUAUUAAGAAGUAGGAUAUUUUGGUCACAAACAUAUUCAUUGGUUAUUACAUAACUAUUACAGGUAUUACUAUGUAGGUAGGUACAUACAUUUCUACAUCUCAAUAAGUCCUGAGCAGAAUUCACCUCCGGCAGGAAGGAAGGAGGCUAAAGGACUCCUGAGUCUGAAGCUCCAAGGAACUUGACUUUUCUGUUUGGAAGGAGAAAAGAAUGGCUGGCUUAGCUUCAGCCUCCAUCUCAUACACAUAUCAUCUCGUGCACAUAUCAUCUCAUACACAUAUCAUCUCAUACACAUAUCAUCUCAUGUACAUAUCAUCUCAUGUACAUAUUAUCUCAUACACUAUCAUCUCAUGCACAUAUCAUCUCAUACACAUAUCAUCUCAUACACAUAUCAUCUCAUGCACAUAUCAUCUCAUGCACAUAUCAUCUCAUGCACAUAUCAUCUCAUACACAUACCAUCUCAUGCACAUAUCAUCUCAUGCACAUAUCAUCUCAUGCACAUAUCAUCUCAUGCACAUAUCAUCUCAUACACAUACCAUCUCAUGCACAUAUCAUCUCAUACACAUAUCAUCUCAUACACAUAUCAUCUCAUGCACAUAUCAUCUCAUACACAUAUCAUCUCAUACAUAUAUCAUCUCAUACACAUAGCAUCUCAUACACAUAGCAUCUCGUACACAUAUCAUCUCAUACACAUAGCAUCUCGUACACAUAUCAUCUCAUACACAUAUCAUCUCAUACACAUAUCAUCUCAUACACAUAUCAUCUCAUACACAUAUCAUCUCAUACACAUAGCAUCUCGUACACAUAGCCAUCUCAUACACCUAUCAUCUCAUACACAUAUCAUCUCAUACACAUAGCAUCUCAUACACAUAGCCAUCUCAUAUACCUAUCCAUCUCAUACACAUAUACAUAUACCAGGUUCCAUCUCAUACACAGAGCCCCUGCCUUUCCUGGUAUCAGUCUGCUUUCAGGACCCUGAACUCCCCUGGGUUUCUAGGCGUUCUUGUCUAGAAAAGCCCACUAAGUUUUUACAGUGCUGUUGUUGCUAUUACCAUGAUUACUUUCUUGUUUUUAUUUGACACAGGGUUUUGCUUUGUAGCUUAGCCAGCCUUGAGUUUGCAGUCUACCUGCUUCAUGAUGAAAGCCCAUAGUCCCAUAGGGCUACUUCAAGUUUGAGGCUAGCCUAGGUUACAUAGUGAGACCCUGUCUCUGAAAUAAAAAGGAAGGAAUCGGAGAGAGGAAGAAACUGUGACCUUUGACCUUAGUGCAAUCCUUUACUUACUUCCAAAAUACUCACAUGCAAUUGUCUCAAGAGCCCUAAACUUAAAACUCCCAGUGAUCAUACUUCUGUGACCAGGACUUGCUCUGUCACACUUCAGCUAUGGGUAGCAUCGUGCUACCUUGUUUCUAACUAUUGUUUCUAACUGUUAAUAGUCAGGACAAUAGGAAAACUAAUGUCCCUGAGCUCAGUGUUUAUAGGUCAGAGAUUUACCUAACAGUUUUCCUUAUUGGAAGGGGUUGCACAGUAUCUGCAAUGAAUUCAUCACAUCUCUGGGAAUUUUUUUCUUGGAGUGUCUUUGAGAGAGCUUCUAAAGAGAAAAACUAAUUUUAGCUCAACAAAAUCCCCAGGAACGUGCUUCAGGGAAGAGGGGGGGACAGCAGAGCACCUUAUUAUCAGAAUGGGGUGAGAAGCAGGAGGAGCCACGUAAUUGCCGGGAGCCUGAGCUCUGAGUGGAUUCUCUCAUUAGAAAUUUACACUGAUUAUAUGUAUCUAAAGAGAACAUUGUGGCAUUAUAAAAACUGAUCUGGAAGAUUCAUCGAUAUUUUUUCUGUUGCUUUCAAAUUCUACCUGGCAUGAUUCUAAAAAGUAAUAGUGUUAUACAUAAUAUACGCGCACAUAUAUAGGCUGCUGUUUUAUUUUGUUAAUAAAAUAUCUUCCUUGUGAUGGUUGCUAUGCAUUAGUGCCUGGUUUUCAAUAAAUUAGUAUGUUUGUGUGAAUUUGUUCUUAAAACUCUCAAACUCUCUGACUAUCCAUUGCUAAAUUCUCUGGAUAGUCAAAAGUGUUAUCACUAUUUUACAUGGAUCUCAGGCGUCUGGGCCAGAUAUUGCCAUCAUUCUGAAACACAGUGCAAGGGGGGAGUAGUGUACUGAUGCUUGGAAAGGGUAGGUCACAGUGAUUUCACCUAAAAACAGAGUGAAUGUACCAUGUUGGUGUCUCAUGCUUAAGUUCUGUUUAGUGUCAACAGACAGCAUUGGAAACCUAAUUCUCCUUUUUUCUAUUUAAGUUUACACACACACACACACACACACACACACACACACACAUAUUAUGCAAACACACACAUAUAUACACAUUCAUUGUAUAUACACAUAUAUUGUAUAUAUACACAUGCAUGUAUUGGUUGUAGAUAUACACAGAUACACAUAUUGUACACACCCAUAUGCAUACAUUGUGUACACACAUAUAUAUUGUGAAUAUACACAUACAUAUAUUUAUUAUAUAUAUACAGACACACAUACAUAUAUUGUGUAUACACACUACUAUAUAGACUAUACACACGUUGUGAUUGUGGCUUUACCUCGGGAGCAUAACCCACAGAGCACAGAUUGACAAAGUGACCGCUGCAAUAGCAUGAGGUUUUUUAAUCCAUGUAUGUGGGGUUGCUAAUCCAUGCAGGGAGAGGCAACCCUGAACCCAAAAAGCACACAACUUUUAUUCGUUACAGAGGGCAGACUUCAGCAACAGGGUUAGCUGACCUAUUCUCAUUGGUGGUACACAGAACAAGGGAUCUGGUCAGGUAUUGGCUGGCCUGCUCAAGGGGCUGUUCUUGGCUCAAUUAGUCACUUUCCUCCUCCAGCCCUACACCUGGCCUUGAAGAAUCACUGGGAAAGGGCUAAGUUGGCACGUCUCUUAGAGGGGGGGCGGGGUGAACUGAGUGGUCGGGCAGGGUCAGGAUGACAUCUUGCGGUUGUUCUCGGAAUUUACCACAGGGAGAGGUAGAGGGUUUCUCCAAGAACAGUUGUUAUUGUUUUGUCUUAAUUAGCUUAGUCAGAAUCUUGAUCACCAAAACUUUAUCAUAUCACUGGGCAUACCACCAGAUGUAUUUCUCAAAACCUUGUUUUUAUAACUUUGUUUCUCAUAUCUAUGAAACUUUGAAACUUUAUUUCUUCAUGAUCACAUUGUGAUGGUUUGUAUAUGCUUGGCCCAGGGAAUGCUCUAUUUGGAGGUGUGGCCUUUUUGGAGUAGGUGCGUCACUGUAGUGUGGGCUUUAAGACCAUACUCCUACUGCCUGGAAGUCAGUCUUCCACGAGCAACCUUCAGAUGAAGAUAUAGAACUCUCGGCUCUGCCUACAUCACACCUACCUAGACGCUGCUCCACCCUGAUGAUAAUGGACUGAACUUCUGAACCUGUUUAAGAGAGUCUGCAGCAGCUAGAGACACUGGGCCGCCGUGGAAUUGGGAUGUGUGCUUCUGACAAGGAGCAUCCAAUACUUGGGCAACCAUUUUUUGUUCUACAUCCCUGCAAGACAAAUGAAUUCAUGACUGCUGUGCUAAAGAAUUCACAGAAAAUCA